UUUUUUUUUAAAGUAGAGAGGAGGGUUGCAUAAGCUUUUGCAGUUUGCAUGAUUGCAUAAUAUGCUGAACAAUGGCAUUGCUGGUAAAUGUGCAGAGGGGUAUGUGCUUUAGGUUCAUGCAUCUGAGAGCAUGCAUUUCCACCGGCUAAAAUAAGGAAUCACUUUGAUUUCCUGGAAUGUAGGGGAGAAAAUCCAUCAACAUUUCCCACCAAGUGGAUGCAUGCAUUUGCAUUUCUUUUUCCCUGUCCGCACAUGCACGUCUGACCAAACGGCUGCAGUUCUUCGCGCAAUUUGCAGUCGGCAGCAUGAUGCUGGACCUAGCUCAUACAUGCCUUGUUGAUCGCCGUGCAGUGAAGGCUGCAUCCCUGCUCUGCCAUUUGAAUAUUUUUCUUUUGUGAGCAGCGUAUCAUGUCGUUGCAUGCACACUGAUAGUUGCUUUCACACAAGAUAGUUUCAAGAGAUAUUGUAAACAAGGAUCGCUAGCUCUUUCUAACCACUGAUCUCAGCAGCAGACGCAACUGGGGGGUAGGAUAUGCGUCCCAGUCCUCUGACCUAAUUCCCUUCACAUUUGUUCUUGUUCAGUUACGAAAUGGACAAAUCUUUUGUAUAAACCUCCCUGUCAAUUCAGGUAGUCAUCCGUACGUAACUUGAGCCGCAAAAGAAGAGCUACACACUAGCAGCAUAGCAGCAGGACAAAUGGACAACCGCUGUUCUUCUGCACUCGUGUUCUCAUGUACGUUGCCAUCAGUUCAUCUGGUUCUGGUCAACUCAUCCUGCAAUUUUCUAUGCUUUCAGCAGAGUACAGAGGUUGCAAGGCAUCCAUCAGUUGGCUUGUUAAUUAGUGCUGACAUUGGCCCAAUCGGGAGGCGGUGUAGUAGCAUAUAUCUUGCCGUGUUGACCUGUCACAGAUUGGUGCAGGGGAUGGUAUAUAGAAUAGGGCCUGGUUUGGUUCCUCUAACUUAUUUUUAGCACCCGUCACAUCGAAUGUUUAGAUACUAAUUAGGAGUAUUAAAUGUAGACUAUUUACAAAACUCAUUACAUAAGUGGAGGCUAAACGGCGAGACGAAUCUAUUAAACCUAAUUAGUCCAUGAUUUGACAAUGUGUUGCUACUAAACAUUUGCUAAUGAUGGAUUAACUAGACUUAAUAGAUUCGUCUCGCCGUUUAGCCUCCACUUAUGUAAUGGGUUUUGUAAAUAGUCUACGUUUAAUACUUCUAAUUAGUAUCUAAACAUUUGAUGUGACACAUGCUAAAAAUAAUCAAAGGAACCAAAUAAACUGCCAAAGAAAGGGGAUCUUGCGCCUUGCUAGUAUGAGAAAUUGGACAAUUGGUGGCAAGUGAUGAUGUCGCCGGGCGCGGACUCUGAGGAAGACCAUCACGCACGCUAUCCAAUCGAAUACAGACACUUCACAAGUCAGCGAAUCGGCAAAUGCAUUUUCAUUGUGUCUGACCUUGUGUCCAAAGGUAUCGUAUCGCCCAUUUGAAUACAAGAUGAUGAGCUCAUUUUCUUGGACGCUGAAGAAGAAAUUCGGGCAGAAAUUUCAAACACCCGCGAAGAAACUUGGAACAAUAUCCAUAGUAAAAUAAAAGGAGCGUAGUAAGCUGUCGUGGAUAUACAUAAUAAGCCGUCGUUAUCUGAUGAUGUUGGGAAGGAAGAAUCGACGAACUCGGAGGCGCAUGCCUGGGAAGAAGUUUCAGCCGACUUGCGCCGUUGCCACACGGGCACAGCCUCCCUGCAUGAAAAACGAAACGAAGUGAAUUGAUUGAUUUCACGCGGCAUGGUCGUCGCUUGCCCCGCAUGGAUCGCCUCCUGCUGCCCUGUCGUCACGGACGGAGCUGUGGCAUGUGGGUGCCGCUGCCGCAUCGAUUUGUUGCUUUCGGGGAUCAAGUUCGUGGAAGAGGGGUGCGUCGUUAGUCAAGGACCCGAUCGAGAUGCAUGGACGGAUGAUCUGCCCAUCUUGUGCUUCAACGAUGUUCUUGUGUUGUGCAGAGUCCAGACUAGAGCUAGUCAAGGUUCAAGGAGCUAGCCUACCUGCUGCCAAUAAUUGUCAGUCCAUCUCCAGAAACAGUGUACUGUACCUGUACUUUCGUGUAUAUGACGCGUUGACCUAUGUGUUGCUGAAGGAUCGGGACGAGCGACCAGAGAGCAGAGGAGGGUGAAUGGGAGCCUUUAAAAAUUUUCUCCGAGGAUAAGAUCUAUGUCCCAAAACAUCAAGAAGCCUCUCUUCUUUCAAUUGUCAAAAUCACGUAAUUGUAGAAGACCUAGUGACCCUAGGAAUGAUGCUAGGAUAGCCUAGAAGCAAUGCGGAAGCAAAGGCAAAAGAUCCAAGGCAAAAUGAGACUUAAGCACCUGGUCUGCCAGGAUUUGUCGGAUAUUCCGGCACCCUAUCAUACUCCGGUACUGGGUCUAUCGAAUACUUCGACACCGUAUCGGAUACUCCGGUACUUGGUCUAUCAGAUAUUCUGGCACCUUAUCGGAUACUCUGAUACUAGGACCAUCGGAUACUCCGACACCUUGUCGGAUACUCCAGCAAAGGGUUGACAACCUCCCAGGAUUGAAUUUAUCGGAAUUUCUAGCACCCUACCGGAAAUUCUAGCACCUUCCAGUAGAACAUAAAACCUAGCCCGAAACUCAAGUCAACGCUCCAAAAUCCAUCCAAACAAUCUCCAAAUCACACAAAAUUUUAACAAUAGCUUCACACACAUAAGAAGAGCCUUUGCUCAAAAGAUCUCCUCAAAAAGAUCAAGAAUUUAUCAUAGAUUUUGUGGAUUCGGGGGGAAACUAGAAAAGGGAUGAAGAACUCAAGAAGAACCUCAAAGAUCCAAUCUUGGAAGACCAAUCAAACGCGAUCCAAAUCCUACAAGAUCAUAGCUAUAGCUGCACAUACAUGUGGGGAAUCUUUGCACAAAAGAUCUUCACAAGAGGAGUUUUUCACCCUCGAUUUCAUUGAUUUGGCCAAGAACACUUUGUAUGGAUUUGCUAGGAUCAUUCUAGAUGUUCUUGCACAUGUCCCAUCACCAAGUUCCCCAAGAAUUCCUCCCAAAAACACAGCCAAACUCAAGAUCGAAAAAAUCCUCCAAAAAUAGCUCCGAAAAUAAGGAAAAAAAGGGUAAAUUUCAUAUCUUGAUAGGAUGGAACAAGCGAGCACGAAUUUGAUCUUUGGAUUACUUCACCAAAUCCAGUUACAAGCUACUUCUAGCAAAAUCAAAGCUUUGGAUGGCAAAAAGAUCAAAUCAAAGAUCCCUCAUCUCUCUCCUCUUUCCCUACCAAAGGCUCUCACACCACGAAUAAGAAGCUCACCCCAAAGAGAUCCAAGAUAUGGCUGUUCCAAAUAUAUAUAUAUAUAUAUAUAUAUAUAUAUAUAUAUAUAUAUAGAGAGAGAGAGAGAGAGAGAGAGAGGGGUAGCAAAACCGUCCAACUUUUUAUCGAUACAUCGGACGGAUCCGAUGCUUUCACGACUUCAGUUUGUCUCGAUGCAAGCUUCGCGCUGGUGUCACACAUCCUCCAACUCGAUGCCGUCCAGCCGCCCCGGACUCACCCCCGGUUUUGAGGCCAAACCAGUCAAACCCUCUUGCACACCCCGCCAGGUGUGACUCACUCCCGUUUUGAGGCUAAACUGGUCAAACCCUUUUGCACACUCUGCAAGCGUGACUCACCCCUAGUUUUGAGGUCAAAUCAGUCAAACCCUCUUGCACACCCCGUAUGCAUGACUCACCCUCGGUUUUGAGGCCAAACCGGUCAAACCCUCCUGCACGCUGCACACAACGUGACUCACCGAAGUCGACGCUUGUCCGACCUCCGCGAAGCCUUUGACGCAUCCAAAUCUUUUGCUCCUGCUCCCGGACCGUCUACUUGACUCGCCUCUAUCCCACUUGACUCGACCGACACCGUCUUCAUCCCAGUGUACUCUUGCUCUUCCGUGCACCAUGUGGAUCACUUAUGAUUCCACCCGGACUCCUCGGAUCCCUCAGUCCAAGCCUACUCGUAUCCACCCUUCAUAGCUUCGGCAUGAACCUUUCGCUUCACCUUCACCUCGUGACGUCGACUGUCGUGUCGCAUUCAACACUUGCACAUCACAAGCUAAGAGACACAAUGUAAAACAUAUGUCUUACACACACCACAACACAACGCACACGACACAACACAUCCGGUUAGCCAUUAGUAUAAUCAAACACAUAUGAAAUAUUGACUCAACCGGAAAAGCCUCGAAUCAUCCGAUGAAUCACUCAUCAUAAAUAGACCAAGGCACAUCUCAACUUGAUCUCUCACUCACAUAUUGAUGAUGCAGGCCGGGGAUAAAAUAGAUGGUGGAUUAAAGAGAAGUGUUUCGAUCGGUUGGAGAAACUGGAGGCAAGUGAUGUCGCCUGCAUGGACUCUGAUGAGGACGAAGAUCACGUACGCUAUCCAAUCGAGUGCAGACAGUGCAGUACAAGUCAACGAAUCUGGAAGAGAGUUGUUUUUAUUUAUUUAGCCCUUGUCUAGUUCACCCCCAACUCCCAACUUUGACACUAUGCAAAAGGAAGAUUCCCCAUCACAUCAAACUUGCGGUACAUGCAUGGAGUACUAAAUGUAGACAAAAUUAAAAACUAAUUACACAGUUUUGUUGUACUUUGCGAGAUGAAUCUUUUGAGCCUAAUUAGUCAAUGUUUGGAUAAUAAUUUAUAAAUACAAAGGAAACGCUACAGUGUACUAUAGUGCUGUAACAGUAAUUUGGCACCUCCAAACUUUGGCAACUAAACAAGGCCUUAUUUUUAAAUGAUGGAAGAGGCUUUGGGCCCUCGUGUCCAAAGACCCGUAUCGCUCAUCUGAAUGCGCGCAGGAUCAUCGGCUCGGUUCCUUUUACGCUGAAGAAGAAGAAAUUCAGGCAAGUUAACAAUGCACCCGGCCGGAAGAGACUUCAUACGAUAUUCAGAUGAGAGCAGAGUAAAACAGUGACGUCCUUUCAGCAACACUCAUGGAGUCAUGGGUAUAACAAUAAGUUGUAGUAGUACAUCCUUAUCAGUUCAUGAUCGGAAGGAAGAAACACCAUGUCAGCAUCCGUCGCCGGCGCCGGCAUAGUGGUCGUGGGUGGGCAAGGGACGGCGACUACUGCAGCAGGGAGUGAUGGACUGGAUGGUCUCCGGGGUUAUCAUAUCCGUCCGAUCGAUCUCCCAUCUCCCGAGUCAAGGGCUGGAGCGAGAUGCAUGGAUGGAGGUGGAAUGAGAUCUUCUAACUUUACCUCCUCUAACUUUGAGUCAUUAGAUCCAAAUGCAACGAGUUCUGUAUGACGUGACAGGUUAAAAGUUAGAGGAUCUGUUUCCGAUAGGGUGAUUUGCCCAUCUGGCCGGUGCGUCAGCGAUAGUUCUUCUUGAUCUAAAGCUAGUCAAGGUUCGAGGAGCCUACCAUCAGCAGGAGGGAGGAGGGCCAGGUAGCUGGUGACAAUUACUGAGACAGGACUGGGGGUCUCCUGGCCGGCCUCAGGGUCGUCGUCGGGCCGGUGACUUCGACGCCCAUGGCGAGUCAAAGGUCGCCUCCUCCAUCGGUGCAGUGACGUAGCAUGGCCAUCCACUCCCCAUUGCCGCAGCUUCCGGAUCAGGAUUCUUCCUCGAAACUCCCUGCACGCACCGGUCGGUUUCCGUUCUGGGUACGCGUAGCUUUGACAGUCAUGAAUGAGCACCAACUGAUGAUGAUGAUGAUAAUGAUGGGGGGAGGUGCAUAUAUAAUUAUUAUGUACGUGGGCUAGGCCUCUUUCGGCCUCCAUGGCCUUGGGCUGGGCUGCUGCUACGCUUCUGCCCGCUCCCCCAUCCCAUCCAUAUGAUGAUGGCUUCCCGGCCCGUAUCCAAACAGCCCAUGUCUUCCCCUCCCAUCAACAAUAGGCCUCGGAAGUGGAAGGCCAGAGGAGGCCGAACUUUCCACCUCCGCUUCCGACUCCACCUCCGCUUCCGACUCGAAGUCAGCCAACACGAUGACACGAUCGACUAUAAAAUAAAAUGCAUCUAUCCCUACAACCCCACAUCUCCCAGCAGGGCUCUCCGCCGGAAGCAAGAACGUACGCCCCCUACAGAUUCUAGCAGCGAGCAUCUUCGACUUCAGGUACGUCCAACUGUUCGAUUUUUUUGCCUGCCUUCUACAACUUCUAGCAGUCUCGUUCGUAUUCAUGGUGUCGGUUGAUGAUCUCUAUAGCGUAUAUAUCGGUGUUGUUCCGGUAGGGUUACGGGAUUAUUUUGGAUGGAAUUUGUGGCUCAUCUCAUAUGAUUUGGUUAGAUCUUAUGAUCUGUUGGCCAGCCUUUAGUUUGUGACUGUAGAUUUUUCCUUCUUCCUUCUGCUACCUGCUUGAAUUGUUGGCCUUUUUGGGUAGCUAUUGAUGAUUGCUCUAUAGCCUAAUAAACAAAAGCAAGACGAAAACAUCGGCUAUUAAUCUUUUUCUUAAGGAAAGGCUGCUAUUAAUUUUAGUUGCUGCUGGUUGAUAUUAACGGCUGCAUAUUCUGUUUUCCGAUUAGAUCGAUUCAUUAUAUUCUAGCAGUGUUAGGUUCUUCAUGGCUGGUUUGGCAUUCGCCUGCCCUGAUGCAUGGUUCUACUCCAGUAUUUCGGCAAGUUGAGAACUGCACACUCACUUAUCUCGUCAAUGUACAGAACUGAGUGAACCAUGUUAUUUUAAUGAUUGCUCAAGACUUAACUUUGUAUCCUAGGCUUGAUGUUUUCUAUAAGCAACGAAAUUACAUUGUAGAUUUCUACUCUUGCUUCUACUGUUUUUUAGAUAGCUGGUUCUUGCUUCUGCCACAUGUUGGAAUCGUUGUAUAGCCUAAAUAAUUAAAAGCUGGAUUAAAGUAUUUUUGUCUACAGUAAAAAAUAAUUGUUGGUGAUGUUUGGUGUGCUAGUUCAGAAUGCAGAUCUUUGUGAGGACCCCCACCGGGACGACGAUUUGCCUCAGUGUCCAACCAUCAGAUACCUUGUAUGCCGUUAAGCAAAAGAUAUUGGAACGCCACCACCUUGCCUUUGAUGGAGUGCUGCUGGAGGAUAACCUUACAUUGGCUGAUUAUAACAUCGAACAUCAAUCCACGCUCGACCUCCAAGAAAAGAUGCAAAUCUAUGUAAGGGAGACACUAAAUGGCAUGACUUUCAUUCUUGAGGUUGAUAGCUUAGAUACUAUCGAUAGCAUAAAGGACAAGAUUGAAGAUACCGAGGGGUUUCCCAAGAGCCUGCAGUGCCUCAUCUUUGCCAACAAACAGCUGGAGGGCAAGCGCACCCUGGCGGACCACAACAUCUGCAAGGACUCCACCCUUCUCCUCGUCCUCCACCCAUGCCCGAGAGGCACGAUGCAGAUUUUUGUGAAGAUGCUAGAUGGAAAGACCCCCACUUUUCAGGUCGAGAGAUCGUAUACCGUCAGCUAUGUCAAGAUGAAGAUCUAUGAGAUGGAGGGCAUCCGCCCCAUACAGCAACGCCUCAUCUUUGCCGGCCAGCAACUGCAGGGCAGGCGCACCCUGGCGGACUAUAACAUUCAGAAGGAGUGUACCCUCCAUCUGGUACUCUGCCUUUGUGGUUGUUGACGAGACUGAUGCCAUGCAAGGUCAUCCAACAACGAGAGUUCUUUUGCUGAAGUACGUCAUGUUUCUUUCUUUCUACUAGCGGCGUGUUAUCAGUAAAACGAUCAUCAAUUAUAGGCCAUCAGUUUGCUAAGGUCUUUUUCAUUUGCAAGUAGCGUUUUGUGUUAUCAUCAGUAAAAUUUUCGUUUGUGGUAACGUUAAUGUCUGAGAUCUUAGCAUAGUUGAUUCAGAAAUACAGUCAACAGCUUCAACUUGUGAUUACGUGUUCGCAAGCAUCACGUCACGCGUCACUUCAAUACCCGGUUGGCUUCUUGUCUCUGUCACGGCAGCCUCUCGGUUGAUUUUAAGAGUGCGUUUGGUUCGAGGCUUGAGGUGGGUUGGAACAGGUUGAAUUUAGAUGGAUCCAUAUUUGGUUCAGAAAUAAAGUGUGUUGGGUUCAUCCCCACAAGGAAUAUACCCCUCAGAUCCAGAUUGAGACGGUCCGUCCAAAUUGAACGAACCAUCUCGACCUACUUCCCUAUUUCAACAGUGUCGCUCUCCGGCUGGACAAGCUCGAGCCCCGCUCCUGCGGACGGAUGAGCUCGAGCCCCGCCGCCGCCGGCCACCGCGGGCUGAUGCUCGGCCUGGACGGCGGCCGCGACGGCCGGGGAUACAACCCAUACGACGACGCAUCAUCUUUGCCGCUCAGAUACCGUCUGGGAUCUUAUUAGCAUCAGUUGAUUCAGAAAUACAUUCAGCAGCUUCAACUUGUGACUACGUGUUUGCAAGCAUCCAGCGGCCAUUGCGUGCGCUUGUGAAAGAGAGAUAGGGCCUAGGGGAUCAGAUCAGCAGGAGAGGGACGGGCCAGGUAGAUGGUGACAAUGAGACAGGACUGGGGGUCUCAUGAUCUCGGGUCGUCGGCCGUCCACUCCCCAAUGCUGCCGCUUCAGAUCAGUGUUCAAGCUACCGCUUCUUCCAUGAAAAUCCCUGCACGCACCGAUUUCCUCCGUUCGGGUUACGCGUAGCUCGGACAGUCAUGAAUGAGCACCAACUAAUGGGGGCAGAUGCAUAUAUAUAACUUAUAACUACUCAGGUUGACGCACGCCUAUACAAAAGAUGUUAAUCUGAAAUAAUGAUGAGAAACCAUUUUAUUAUCUUAUUGUGCUCAAUCAAAAAAAAACAUAAUAUAGAAUCAAAUCGAUCGCAUCUAAUAUUAAAUUCAAACAAGUUUUUAUCAUAAUAGUCAUUCGAGCACCGUGUAAUUUUUUUCUUAGGAAGUCAUGAGCCUUAGUAGAUAUAGCUAACGGAUUGACGUGCUAUGUUACCCUGAUACUUGGUUUUGAUAGAAAUAAAACAAAUUAAAUUAGCAAUGAAUGAAUAAUUCACUCAUAUUUUGCAAUUUAAUUUGAAGGCAAGGUCAAAAAAUAGUAGGGCUACCAGAGGUGAAGCUAUUAUGCAAAGUUUAAUUAUUAUUUUACACAUAGAAAAAAAUUAAAUAUAUUUAUACUUUCCCUAAAAUGUAAUUGCAAAUAAUAGAAAAAUUGUCAUCGAUAUUUUUUAAAAAAAAUUCAUGAGACCCACUCGAUAGUAUCGUGGAUCCCACUGAAGAGUACGUGGAUCCCAUACAGAUUACUUGAAUAGUUUGUGGAUCCCACAUGGAUUCUUUUAAACAAUACGUGGAUCCCACGUGGUACAUGAGGAGGCACGAAACCUAGGAGCGUACAUGGGCUAGGCCUCCUUCGGCUUCCAUGGCCUUCCCAUCCAUAUUAUGGCUUCCCGGCCCGUAUCUAAACAGCCCAUGUCUCUUCCUCCCGUCAAUAAUGGGCCUCCGAAGUGGAGGCUCAAGUCCGGCCUGCUAUCGCUCGCCGCCGUCCGGACGGAAUCGUCGUCGAUCGAGGAGACCAAAACUUUCCACUUCCGCCCCAAGUCGUCCGUCCACGCUUCCAAUCGAUCUCCCAGCAGGGCGCUCCGCCGGCGGAAGCAACAACGUACGCCCCUGCAGAUUCUAGCAACAAGCAUCUUCGUCGGCUUCAGGUAAGUCGAGCUGUUCAAUUUUUUGCCUCUCUCUCUCUCUCUCUCUACUACUUCUAGCAGUCUCAUUCGUAUUCAUGGCGUCGGUGAUGAUCUCUAUAGCGUAUAUGUCAGUUUUCGUGUAGGGUUACGGGAGUAUCUUGGCUGGAGUUUGUGGCUCAUCACCUCAUAUGAUUGUUGUUGGAUCUUGGGAUCUGUUGGCCAGCCUUUGUGACUGCAGAUUUAUCUUCUUUCUUCUAUUCUGCUACCUGUUUGGAUUGUUGACAUUUUUUGGCUGUUAAUUGCUCUGUAGUAGCCUACACAAAAGCAAGAAGAAAAGCGUAUGCUACUAAUUUUAGUUGCUCGUUGAAACAAGGGCUGCAUAUCCUGUUCUCCAAUCGGGUCGAUGCAUUCUAGCAAAUCUGAAGUGUGAGCUAGCUAGCUUCAGUAAUGCUAGAUUCUUCUUUGCUGAUUCGGCAUUCGCCUGUCCUCGCCGUUGUAUUCCAGUACAAAGUACUCGGCAAAUUGAGAACUACGUAUUCACGCUAUCUCUUCGGUUCGAUGCACAGAACUGAGUGAACCAUGUUAUUCCAAUGAUUGCUCAAGACUUAAACUUUGUAUCCUAGGCUUGGUAUUUUCUAUAAGCGAUGUACAUUACGCAGUAGAUAUCUGCUCUUGCUUCUACUGUUUUUUAGAUAGCUGGUUCUUGGCUUCUUGCUUCUGCCACCUGUUGGAAUUGUUGUAUAUAGCCUAAAUAAUUAAAAUCUGUACUAAAGCAUUCUUUUUGUCUACAUUCAGAAUGCAGAUAUUUGUGAGGAGCCCCACCGGCAGGAUGAUUUGCCUCAGGGUCCAACCAUCACAUACCUUGUAUGCCGUUAAGCAAAAGAUAUUGGAACACCACCACCUUGCAUUUGAUGGAGUGUAGCUGGAGGAUAACCUCACAUUGGCUGAUUAUAACAUCCAGCAUCAAUCCACGCUUGACCUCCAAGAAAAGAUGCAAAUCUAUGUAGCUCAUGGAGACGACUCCUGUGUAGCUGACGCUGGAGUAGAAGAUUUGAGACUUUGGUGAUUUGUAAAUAUAUCACAUGACUCUCCAUAAAGAUAAUACCUCCAAAUCUUUAGAGAAAAAUAAUUGCAGCUAACUCCAAAUCAUGUGUAGAGUAAUUCUGCUCAUGCUUCUUCAAUUGCCUUGAUGCAUAAGCAAUCACUUUACCUUCUUGCAUAAGCACACAACCAAGCCUGAUUCAAGAAGCAUCUGUAUACAAAGUGAAGCGUCUGCCACUCUCAGGUAAUGUCAAUAUAGAAGCAUUCACUAACUUACUCUUCAGAGUUUGGAAACUGGCCUCACACUCUUUAGUCCAUAUGAAUGGAACACCCUUCUUAGUGAGAUUAGUCAUUGGCUUAGCAAUAAUUGAGAAACCUUGCACGAAACGUCGAUAAUAACAUGCAAGCCCAAGGAAGCUCCGAACCUCUGUUACAUUGGUUGGUCUUUGCCAUUCCACCACUGAGGCAACAUAUCUAAUGCCAUGCUGAUUAAUGACAUGACCAAGGAAGCUCACUUAAGAAAGCCAAAAUGCACAUUUCUUCAAUUUUGCAUAGAACUUGUUCUUCUGAAGUGCAUGCAAGACAAGACUGAGAUGAACCUUAUGCUUCUCCUUUGACUUGGAGUAGACUAAGAUAUCAUUGAUGAAUACCACAACAAAAACAUCCAAGUACUCAUGCAACAUCCUUUCAUGGCCUCCAUAAAAACGGCAUGGACAUUUAUUAGUCCAAAAGACAUAACCACAUAAUCAUAAUGCCCAUACCUUAUAUUAAAAGCCAUCUUCUCAAUAUCCUCUUCCUUGAUACAUAGUUGAUGGUAACCACAUUGCAAGUCAAUCUUAGAGAAUACCUUGGCACCUCUCAAUUGAUCAAAGAGAGCAUCAAUACGAGGCAAAGGUUACUUGUUCUUGAUUGUCACUUGAUUAUGUGCUUGAUAAUCAACAAAAAAUCUUUUAGUGCUAUCCUUCUUUUCUACAAACAAGACUGGGGCAACCCAAGGUGACGUGCUUGGUUGGUUAAACCCUUUAGUAAGAAGUUCAUCCAAUUGUUUCUUCAACUCCACCUGCUCCAAAGGAGCCAUCUUGUAUGGUGUCUUAUAUAUAGGUUGCGUUCCAGGAACUAACUCACUACUAGAAACCUUGGCUUUAGUCCCGGUUGGUAGGGGCCAAAUCUCUCUAAAACCAUUCAGGAUAUAAUUUUCGAGACAAAAGGUGGGGGUCCUUUAGUCCCGGGUCAUCCACCCGGGACUAAAGGCCCCGUUUAGUCCCUGUUGGUGCUACCAACCGGGACUAAAAAUUUCAAAAUAAAAAUAAAAAAGCAGCCCACGCCCGUCGGCCGCUGGCCGCACGCCGCCCUGACACUGCUCCGCUCCGGCCUCCGCCCCGGCCCCAGCCUUCGCUCUGCCUCCACUGCUCCGAGCCUGUGCCACCUCUCCGCCCUGGCCUCCGCUCCGAGCCCUCGCCGCUGCCCGCCCUCGUCCCGCUGCCGCUCCUCACUACCAGUAAGGGGCAAGCAGAGGGGGAAGGGGAGGGGCAGCAGGGGGAGGGGGUUGGCACCCGUGCUGGAGGGAGAGGAGGAGGAGGAAGAAGAAAGGGGAAGAUAAGGAGCUGUGCACCGGAGGGAGUCCUGGUCUUCUAAGGAAGAUGAAGAGGAUGCACUGUAGCGCAACCAAUCCGGGGUCCUCCCCGACGGGCCCUCCAUCCAUCGCUCGUAGGGAGUGGCCAAGGGGUUAAUGGGGGAGGAUAAGAAUGCGCCGCCGGGGUGUCGAAGGAGCUUGGUGCCGGAGAAGGAUCUUUUUCUUCAUUGAGCUCGUUCUCAGAUCUGGAUGCACCAGCGGCCGGCCGGGGGGGGGGGGGGGAUGGGGGUGGGAGGUGGGACAUGGCCGGCGCAGGCCUAGAGGGGUUGGGAGGGGAGUGGAUGCUAAGGCCGGAGUGGCCGCCGGCGGGUGGCGUGGUGGGCGCGAGGUCUAGAGAGAGAAACUAGAGAAAUGCCUGUUACUUUCCACUUCCAGUAAGCUCUAUAGAGUAAGUAACAUACAUGGAGUAUUGUACUGUUAGUUUCUUUGUAGUUUAUUCUAAGAUGUUCCAUCCUUCAUUUGAGUAACUAUUUGUCCAUUUGACAAAUUAACCACAUUCAAAAGCUAUACAAGCAGAGGGAGCCGCAUGACAGGCCAUUUGUGAUGUUGCAUUGUUGGGCGUUACUCAAACACCACAGAAGUGGAUCAAUCGGGAUAAUGAUUGUCAUCUACUUAAGAAGAAAGCACAAAAGUCUUUUUCAGAAUUUGAGAAUGAGGGUGAUGACAAUGAUGAUGAUGUGGAGGAGAGUGGCAUUCCAAGAUCGGCAGUGAACCACAAAGAGAGACCUUCAGGGAGGAAGCAAGAGAAGGAGAGGGUAAAGAAAGGAGGAGAUGGUAUUGUGUUCCAGUCCGCAGUUCAAGAGAUGAUUGAAACAAAGGAGAAGAUAUCAGUUACUGGGAAAGGAUUAUUGGAAGACUGCUGGAGAUGCUCUUAAUUGUAUAGCCUAAAUAAAAGCAUUUGUUGCUGUUAAUUUUAGUUGAUACUGGAAAAUAAGGGCUGCAUAUUCUGUUUUUUUCCAAUUAAUUCGAUACGUUGUAGCAACUCUAAAGUGUGCGCUAGCUUCUGUAACAUUAGAGUGUUGUUGGCUGAUUUGGCAUUUGCCUUUCGUCGGUUCUAUUCCACUAGAAAGUGUUCAGCAAUUGAGAACUUUCUCGCUUAAUCUAUUCAGAUAAAUGCACAGAAUUGAGUGAACCAUGUAAUUUUUAAUGGUUGCUCAACACUACUUUAUAUGCUAGCUAGCUAGGCUUGCUCUGUACAAACAUUGUAUUUACACAGUAGAAUUGUUGGCUUUUUCUUGUAUAACCUAAAACCGAAAGCUUGAUUGAGCCACUUUUGUCUAAAAAUGUUAAUGUUGAAGUGCUCAUUCAGAAUAUAUUAUCUUUGUGAGGAGGCCCACCGGCAGGAUAAUCCACCUCAGUGUCCAACCAUCACAUACCUUGUAUACUGUGAGAGAAAAAAUUCUGGAACAACACUGCCUUGUCUUUGAUGGAGAGCAGCUAGAGGACAACUUUACACUAGCUGACGCUUGACCUCCUAGAAAAGAUGCAAAUCUAUGUAAUGGAGACGCUAGCAGGCAAGUCCAUCACCCUUGAGGUUGAAUACUAUUGACAACGUGAAGGGCAAAAUUGAAGAUCCUCAUCUUUUCCAACAAACAGCUGCACGACAACAGCACCUUGGCGACAACAACAUUUGGAAGGAGGCCAUCGUUCUUCUUGUCCUCCACCCAUUUCCAAGAGGCACGAUGCGGAUCUUCGUGGUGAAGAUGACUAGAAGGACCAUGCAUCCCUCUUUUGGUUGAGAGUUGAGAUACCAUCGACGCUGUGAAGCUGAAGAUCUAUGAGAAGGAUGGCAGUCGCCCCAGACGGCAACGCCUCAUUUUGCUGGCAAACAGUUGGAGGACAGCCAGACCUGGCUGACUAUAUCAUUCAAAAUGAGUCUACCAUCGACGUCGACGUGGUGCUCUGCCAAUAUGUGGUCGCUGAGAUGCAUGACCAUCAACACGGAGAUACGUGAUGUAUGGCCAUUCAACAAGGAGAUACUUUUGAUGCAGUCUUCUUUCUUUCCUUCCAGUAGUGGUGUGUCAUCAGUAAAACUACUAUCAUUGUAGGACGUUAGUAUUGCUGCAUUCUUCUUUCUUUAUUAUCAAACUGAGAUUAACUUAUCUGGCCAACCAAUCGUGCGUUGUGAUGUACUACAGUACAGCAGAUGGUUCGUUCUCACAACAGAAUCAAACAGGAAAAUCACGGCAAUUACAAAUGGGGAUGUCGGCCGGAUAAACAAUUACUAUUUUAUUUGGCAACAAUUCAAGUACUGUUUUGGCAGCAGUAAAGGAAAACUAGUAAGUUCCGACUGAGUUUUUCUGGAUAAAAACAUAAAACGCUGCCGCUGUUACGGCGCACAAAAUCCCUGCGUUCUCCAUUGAGUUCGCAUGUGUGUUUCCACAGCUCACCGGACGGCCGCCGUCGAGUUGAUCUCCGGCGAACCUCUGACAGAGAUGUGCGUGGCACUAUGGUGGAUGUGGACCCACCACUCGUUACACGGUCAAAAGGGGCCCAACCAGGUCGAAGGGCAAGGAAGAAACUCUGGGCCGCCUCUGGCUGCCGGGAAUUAUUGGCUGAUUGCUUUUUGGAAAAUAAAAAUCAGCUCCGGUUGGAAGUCCUAAUUCUCUUCCACUUCCGAUUCCAACCUUCAAGUCCCUGCCGAGUCGAGUAUAAAUUAAAACACAUACAUCUAUCCCCAAACCUUUCAUCGUGGAAAAUGCAAAAUCACAUGUACAUGUGACCACAUGACUUAUCUUAACCGUUGAUUUCUUUUUAUCCAACUGUUGAUCCACUACCUACCCCUUAUACUUCUUACCUACCAAUGAUCUAUCUCAUCAUUGAUUCAAAAAUAAAUGGCUUGGAUAUAUAACUCAUGUGGUCACAUGUAUAUCCUUUCGUUAUAGUAUGUUAAUGUGUGAGAUCUUGUAUCAAGAGUCCCUGGGUUUGUCUUGGCAUCAUUUUAUUGAGAAAAACAGUUGGUGGCUUCAACUUUAGUAAGGUGUGUUGCAAGCAUGCAGCGGCAAUUGCAGAGGUCACAAGCAUGCAUCAGCUCAAUACCCUAUCUGCUAAUUGUCUCUGUCACGCAGUCUCUCGGUUGAUUGUAAUCUUAACAAGACGUGCACAAGCACAACCAUUGUUCCCACGGAAAUCCUAAAGAGAAACAUAAAAAUCGUACUAACCUUUGCUCAGAAAAAAAUGGACUGAAAUAUAGGGUGUGUAAAAAAUAUUACAAGCUUUUAGUAGUAAUAUAUGUUUCCAUAAUAACCCAGGUAACGCACAAAAGUAUAGAUGACAUUAUCGUGGAGACUGAAUUCCCAAGUAUGCUGAAUCAGUCAUGCUGACAUACCCGUUGCUAAGCUCGAUUUCGAAGCAAGCGUUUGGUGAUCCAACGAGCAUAGCUCCCUCGUCGGAAGUCUCCUGCCCCCAUGGAUGCUGCGACAGGUUCCUAAACCUCUCAAGCUCAUCUGCAACCUCCCGCAUCGGCGGUCUCUGCUCGCUAGCUAUCUCCAAGCAUCGCCUCGCCAGCUCGGCCACCUGCUCGAUCAGCUCGAUGCUCUCUUCGCCUUUGAUCUGUUCGUCCAGUAUCUCGCCAAGCCUGUUCUCGCUCAUGGCCAGGAGGAAAUGUGCCGAGAGGUUUAUUUCCUCAUCGAUUGCCUGAAGGUUCGUCGCCUUCCUGCACGUCAGCAGCUCCAGGAUGACGACGCCGAAGCUGUACACGUCGCUCUUGCUCGUCAGCUUGGAGGUCUGCAUGUACUCUGGGUCCAGGUAGCCGUAGGUCCCCUGGACAAAUGUCACAAACUGGGCCUCGUCCGUCGGAGCCAAAGUCGAGGCUCCAAAAUCUGAGACUCUGACGGUGUAGUUGUCGUCGAUGAGUAUGUUUGCCGAUUUCACGUCGCCGUGGAUGAUCGGCGGCGAGGCCCAGGAGUGCAGGUAGGCGAGUGCUUCCGCGGCCUCGUGCGCGAUCUUCAGGCGCGUCGCGAAGGAGACGCGCGGCCCGUGGUGAUGCCGGCCAUGGAUGAGCUGGUACAGGGUGCCGUUGGGGAUGAACUCGUAGACGAGCAUGGGCACCUCCACCUCAAGGCAGCAGCCAUAGAACUUGACGACGUUCCUGUGGUUGAUCUGGGACAGGAUGAGCAUCUCCUUCCCGAACUCCUUCUCCUGCCUCUCGCUGAUCAUCUUGCACUUCUUUAUCGCUGCCGAUCUGUUAUCUUUUAGAGUUCCUCUGUACACGGUGCCAUUCCCUCUCUUGCCGAGCACAACUGGUUGGGGAAUCGGCACAUGUUGGUGGAUCGGCGACAGGAUGACCGGGUGAUGAAUCAAAGCGUGCGGCGGAUUCUGCGGUAACAUGACCGGCUGAGUGGUUGACAGUUGGUGGCAUAGCGAAUCGGCUGCCCCAUCGUAUAGCAUCAUCGGCGCUGCACUUCGAAGUGUUUCAGUAGCAUCUAUCCCCCUGCCGAUUUCUGACAUGGCCGGCUGAUACUAUGGGACCAUCGGCCGGAUAGCCGGUUGGAGCGGUGCCUGGAUCGGAGAGCCUCCAUAACCGACCGAUUGGUCCAGGACAGCUGCCGCUGUUGGUGCCCCCCAAGGCAUUGAGUUUGAGGGCAAUGACUGCACGGAAGAAAUCUGGGCAAGCUGAGGCGGUGCUUGUGACUGAAAGCAUGGUGCACCGCUGUAUCCCGGAGGCAUUGAAGGCAGUGAAGUGUUGUGUCCUUCGUGUUGCGUCGGCGUCAGCUGAGGAGCCGAGCUAGAUGUGCUUGGUAAGCUCCUGACUGGAGUUGUAAUGGGUGGGGCGUACGCUGGCCCCUGAUAUCCUUGAGCUACCCCGUUGGCCAGGGAACUGAUGACGGCAUUGUACACCGUGUUGGUCAUCACCGGUGAUUGGUCGAUGAAAGCCUGAUAAACGGACUGUUGAAUCAUGUUGGACAUCUUGCUCGAGUCCUCAGCGAUGGUGAUCUGGCGGGGAGUUGGAAGAGGAGCUUUCUUGAUGGCCUCCCCGCUCCCUCCUAGUACGACUGAAAGAUUGCAGAUAUACCUUCUUGUAGUCUUCUAGGUGUUUUGCCGAUUCUUCUUUCUAGUCGUCCUUGAGAUCUGCCUCCGUAACCUCAAUGACAUUGUCUUCGGAGACUUCGGUGGCCUUUGACAUGUUGGAUAUUGAGGUGGUCUCACUGGGCGUGCCAAAAGUGUGUUGGCGCUAAAAGUCAGCCAAUUGAUCCUCAGCGUCGGACACACGACCCGGGAGAAUCUGCUUAGCUCCUGUUCGGAUAAUCGCCCUGGUUCGGUUCGCGCGGCGUGCCAUCUAAUCUGACCCGUUGAUUGGCAAGGAAGAAAACAUGUCAAAUUCCAGGGGUUCCGAUCGGCUAAGGUUCCAAUCUCGAAAAGCGUAUCAGCGAAUCGGCCGAUUUGCUAUAUAAAGAUAAUCGGCUAUGAUACAGCCGACAAUCACGUAGCGAUUGCGAAGAAAACUACUAGAGUAAACUAGACAAAGCUACGAAAGCAACACUUGAAAUAGACCUAAUUGGCUAUGCGAUAAUGAUGAAUGAAAAUAACAGCAACAAAGCCGAUAGUUCAAAUCUCAAGCUGGAUAACUGGUGAUAAAACUAGAACAGUAGAUAAAACCUAUAAUUCUAGUAAAUAUCGAUAACUUGUGAAUAAAUCUAAACGAAACGAUAGCGAUGCGUCCGAAGUUAAAGCUUAGAUAUUACUCGAUAAACAGAACUUACAGAAUCGGCCGAAGAUCGUGUCGAUGCAGCCCUGCCAACCCGUACGAACUCGUGAAAGAAAAAGAUGUAUUGGCGAAGUCGCCGACUUGAAAGUAAAGUACGAGGAAACAGUAGAUUGUUGUAUUGAUUGAUGUGUUGUUUACAAAUCUCUGAAGAUGGCUAUUUAUAGCCUGUUACAACCGAUUUCCUAACCGACUAGGAUCUAUCUCUAAUUUUAAACGAAAACAAAUAUUUACGAACACAACUCGUAUUGGAGUUGGUUAUUGUACUCCCACGGGCCAAUCUUUCUCUAUCUUCUUUCUCUGACCCACUUUAAGCCCAUAUUGGCCCAAUCGCUCCAGCCUUCCAAUCGGCCGAUCUCCACCAACUCCCUCUGCCAAAACACUUGCAGUGCCAAUUGGCUGAUUCCCAACUGUAGCACCAAUCAGCCGAUUCCCAAUCGUAACCUUUUAAUCCACCGUAUCGGCCAAUCCUUUUCUCCCUUGACGUCGAUCCCAUACGUGUCAAAAUCUUGCGUCAACACAUUCUCUUAAAGUGAUGCACUGGAUCGUGAACGUGCCAUUAAGAGACUACACAAGAUAAGCUUGAAAAUAAGUUAGUCUCAAAAUCACAAAAGCUCCCCCUAAAUGUGUGCAUUUAGUGUCUGAAUCACCAACCAAGAGUAUGCACAUUUUUUUUGACAGCAAAAGGGAAGCUAACCCUAUAGAAUGUGCUCAUGAUACAAAAGAUAAUAAAUGAAAGAGCAUGUAUCAUGAAAGAACCACACAUAUCAAACCAUGUAGGUUGCUCGUGGGUUAGAGAGAUACACAAGCAACCUACCAUAUAAAAACAACUAAGCAUUACAACAUAUAUCAUAUGAGAACACAAUGCAAUCCUAGACAUGGCAAUGGAGCUACAAUGAUGCUUGAGUUGGGUUCUAACUACCAUUACCUUUGGAUGGGGGACUUAGGCAUAUAUGUCUAACGUUGUGAGCUUGGCAUAUAUCUUCAUCUUCUUGUGAGCCAAGCCUUCAAAUCCCCCGUAGCUGAUCAUGGACUUCACGUGUCUUUUGGAACCCAAACCAUUUGAGGCCCUUUCAUGUUGGUGAUCACUUCCUUGGGCACCCAAAUGGGUCGAUUCCAACCCCACUCCUUCUUCAUCUUCCCAACCUUAUAUGCAAUCACCUUUCCACUGGUCUUUUUCUUGAUGACGUAGGUGUUGCUCUUGGCCUUGUUAUUGCGGUUGGGCUUGGUGUAGAUGAGGGAGCUCUUGAUGGUAAAGUUCAUCUUCUUCACUUGAGGGCAUUGGUAGGACUUGUGGCCUUCUUCAUGACACUUGAAGCAAGUCACGGUUGCUCCCUUCUCAAGCUUCUUCACCAUGUGAUCACGAUUAUUUUGAGAAGGUUGGACGUUGCUCUUCUUAUCUUGAGAAGCUUGUACAUUGUCUGCCUUGUCCAUGCCCUUCAACUUAGCCAAUUUGCCCAUGAGCCAUUUCACUUCUUGCUUGAGCUCAUCAUUCUCCUUGGCAAUGAGAUCAUCACAUGAUUAUACAACAAUAUUCUCAAAGGAUUUGUCAUUGCAAGAUGGUGAGCAAGAUUCAUGAAUUAAGUCAAAGCAAGAAGUUGAAACAUCUAUCUUAGAUAUAGGAAUUGCACAAAGGAUAGAUGAUUCAUCUAGCUCCAAGGAAUUCUUAGUUUCAAUUCCAAUGCUCUCAAUUUUAGAUUUGAGCUCUUCAUGCUCCUUGCUAAGUAAGUUGAACUUGCACAACAAAUUUUCAUAAUUUGUAGCAAGAGUAGCAUUAAGGUCAUUGAUAGCAUUGAGUUCUUUUAUUUGCUUAGAUUGUUUCUUAAUGAUUCCUUUUUGCUCAUGAAUUAGCUCAAGAAGAUCAUCAAUAGAAGAAGAAUCAGAUUCAUCAUCACUUACAUUGCUUUCUAUACCUCGGGCCAUAAGGCAAAAAUGUGAUGAUGAUGAAGGACCUUGCAUGAAGCGAGUGGUGAAGUUCUUGCUUGAUUCAUCACUUGAGCUACAAGAACUUGAUUCUCCACCGCUUAUCCAUUCACAGACGACGGUGAGUGCUUCUUGCUUGGGCUUCAUCUCCUUCUUCUUUUUCUUGUGCUUGAUCCUCAUGAUCUUCACUUGUUGAUGAUGAAGUCAUUCUCUCAAUGAACAUUGUAGCCAUACAUGUUGUUCUUUUUCACGUACUUUAAGACCUUCUUGGCGUACACAUUUACCAAGGAUUUGGUUUCUUCAUCACUUGAGAAGCUUUUGUCAUCAUCAUCUUCUUCUUCUUCUUCUUCUUCUUCUUCUUCUUCUUCUUCUUCUUCACUUGAGCUUCUAUGAGUUGCCUUCUUCCUCAACUUAUUCUCUUGUUGACUUGAAAGAGCAAGACUUUGAGUUGGAGAAGAUGGUUCCUUGAGCUUAUCCUGGAGUUGCACCUUGGGCUUGUCCAUUAGCUGGAGCUCAAAUGCUAUGAUCUUGUUUAAGAUAUGAUUUGGAGUUAAUUCAUAGAGCUUCUUUUCAAAGAGAACUGCCUUCACCAAAUCAUAAUCUGGCUUCCAGAAGCUGUGAAGGAUCUUGCGAUUGAGUUCCGCAUUCUUGAUGUUCUUCACACCUAAAGCAUUGAUAUCAUUCACAAGAACAUUCAAGCGUGCAUACAUAGCCUCGAGAUUCUCAUUAUCAAGUUGCUUAAAGCUAUUUAGCUUAUCAAUGGGAAUAUCGUAUCUUUCAUUAGUUACGUCCUUUGAUCCCUCAUUGUUCUGUUUGAUAGUCAUCCAUAGCUCGUUAGCAUUUUCACAAGUAAAAACACGAUUGAAAACACUUUCACUAAGUGAGGACAAAAUGAUGCUCUUGACAAUCACAUCAUAUUGUUUUUCUUGUUGUCCUUUAUUUUUCAUGCCCUCGCUACUGACUCUCCAAAUAUUUAGGCCCUUAGCUUGGAGAAAUGCUUCCUUGAGAACUUUUCAACGUGGAUAGCCUGUGUCAUCGAAAUAUGGAGCCAAACCUAUUAUAUCCAUCCCUUUCCCUUAUCAAGCUAACUCACAAGGCGGUGAAGGCUAACCAUUUUCAAUGAGCCGGUUUCACAAUUUGCCAAUAAAAUUGGUGAUUCUGUGUGAAAUAUGUGAGUCUCAGCUUUGAUACCACGUGUAAGGAAUUGGUGCUCGUAGCCUAAGAGGGGGAGGGGGUGAAUCAGGCAACCUAAAAACUUAACCUAUGGCAUCCACUAAUUUGCAUGUAAGUAAACUAGACCAUUUUAUCCUAGAAGUGCAUUGUAGUGUGAAACCCUCAUCCCAAAACAAGUUUUGCAACCUAGAGCCAAUCCUAUCAAGGUAAGGUACUACACUAAGAAAGUAAAGGCACCCAAGUUGUAAGUAUUAAAAUACGGAAAUGUAAGAGGUUAGGAUGAAGGGAAGUAAACUCUUGACACAAUGAUUUAUCCCGUGGUAUCAGUAGUCACUAAGCCACCACUAGUCCACGUUGUUGAAGCACUCACAUAAGAGUAUUGCUUCCUGGUCACCAAGUCUGUCCCAAGGCACCCCUUGACUUGCCACAGAGGCUCGGCCACUAAGUCACACGCUAAGUUCCUCGGUCACCUUGAUGCCAUUUCCACUAAGGAGCUUCUCCAUGAAGUGAAGGGGGUCUCCACGUCCCCCGCACAAGGUCAUAAAUGCUGCUCCACACCAAGCCGGAGGGUCGAAGACUUGCCGGCGAGCCACCAAGGCUCCAAGGUGCCGGCACACCUCUUGUACAGCGGUGGUUCACUCUAGAACCUGGUCACAAGGUUGGCACACCUUGCACUCACUCCUCUCUAAGGCUAUCCUAGCACUAAUCACUCUCCUAACCUUGUGCUAAGCCUUUGAUGAAUCACUGAAGCACUUUUGGUGGCUUGGAUGUGUUCUUGAUGAGUCUUGGUUUUCAAUGCAUCCCAAGACACUCCAGCAACUCCAAAUGGGCGAGUAGUGGGGGUAUAAAUAGCCCCAAAGGCUGAAAGAGCCGUUGCUCUAACGGCUAGUUAAAAAGUAUAUCAUUGGAUGUUCCGAUGGUCUAUUUCUGACCUGCAUCGGAAUAUCCUGUGCAACUAGCCGUUGGCUCCCCACGCUCAACUUUUUCACUGACAUAUCCAAAAUUCAUCCGACGCUUCAUCCAAUGCACCCAUCGGAUGAUCCGGUGUUGAAGAGCUUUCUAGCCGAAACCUUUUGUCUGAUUUCAAAGUAAUAUGUUUUGUCCGACGUUCCUUUUGUGCCUUCCAUCGGAUCAUCCGGUGCUGCUUGAUUUUCUUCGUCUUCCAAGCCUGUCCCUCAGAAUUUGUCCGACACUACUAGAAAAGGGACCAUCAGAUCAUCCGAUGGUUGACUUUAGCUUGACUUCAUUUCAGCGUACCAAUUGCUCCGACGCUCAUCUGGGGGCUAUCGGAACAUCUGAUGGUGUGUUUUCCUAGAUGUCUUCGUUUCUUCGCUUGUCUUUGGUUGUGGUUGCUUCCUUGGGACCUAGAAUACCUUCAAGACAUGUUCUAACCAAUUUGUUAGUCCCAAUGACCAUGUUAUCAUUGAAUCAGCAAAAUCAUGAACAAAUGGCUUAAUAAGGCCAUGUUCGCUACAAACAACUUCUCUGGCGAGAUAUCGGUGACCUUUGCAAGCUACAAGACACUCAUGAGGUUCCGGGUCGGCAAUAACUCGCUCUCCGGCGAUGUGCCCGAGGGGCUGUGGGCCCUACCAAAUGUCAUCGUCUUUGACCUAGCAGAGAACCAUUUCAACGGCAGCAUCAACUCUAGCAUCGGGAAUUCAUGGGCAUUAAAUUUUAUGCCACAUCAGCAAUUUUGCUGGCUUGGCAAGAUCAUUUAUGAGGACAGUUUCAUUAGAUGUGAGAGAAAUUUCAUCCCCAUGACACUCCGCUGGCACAGUUACCUAGUUCUUAGUCUUGGUAACUGUGCACUGAGACUGGCCUUACCGGUCUUCUACUAGCCGGCAACCGUUCUCCGGCGCAAUACCGUCAACGAUUGGGAACGCGACUAAUAUUCACUUGGUAGAUAUGUCAUCUAACGCAAUCUCUAGCACGAUACCAUCUUCGAUAGGGAACAUAACCUAUCUUUGGACCAUAGACAUGUCCUCUAACGAAAUCUCCGACAAGAUACCGGAGAGCAUCGGUAAUCUGGCCUACCUCACAAAGCUUUCCCUUGCAGCGAAUUAGAUAAACGGCGCUAUGCCAUAGCUCCUUUGUUACCCUGUAGGCCAGGGCACCACGAGACCGGCUAAUAACGAGGACAUCACCCUCAUCUGUUCCUGUGCUACUUUCGCCUCUCCCAGUGACACAAACGGCAUUAAUUAGGGUAAAUUGAGAAUGUUGUCGAUGGCUCUCUCACAAGAAAAUUUUCACACCGUGUGUUUGCAUCGACCCCCAUCUUGGCCGAAACCUCGUUCUCAGUUGGGGUCAGUGGUCAAGUUAACGGAUCAAGAGAAAAAUAUCAGGGAUGGCCGGUAAGAUCGGUACACUGAUUUUCGGCUGAAAUUUCGACCGGAAUUUUUGAAAUCGAGCCAAAUUUUGACUGAAAUUUGAAAGAUCAGCCCAAAUGCUGGCCGGAAAGUGAUCAGUAUGUACUGGUAUGACUAUUUACCGAUGUUCGACGAAAUUCAGCCGAAAUUAUGAACCCUGGUUGGGGUUCUAGCAAUCAAUGUCCUCGUUUGGAAAAUCCUCAAGAGUGGGGUUGGACAGGGUCUGAGCUAUCAGGAUCAUUGAGCUUGAUUUGGAGUUUGAAUUGGACGGUUGGACGGUUUAUAUAUGUAUUUCGAUCGUCUUGAGUAGGGAUCUGCAAUGCUAAUGUCCAGAUUGUAAUAUAAGACCUCUACAAAAUCGGAAGUUCAACCGGCCGUGCCAAUUUUGGUUAUCAACAUAUACCCCCUAUUUCUUUUUUGGAAAAGCUUGUGUACCAAUAAAAAUUAUCAUGACUAAAAUUGCGAAGACGAUGAACACACAUCGGCCAUGUAUUUUCCUAAGGGCGAUACAAUUCCAUCGGCCAUAACAUUUGUAUGUGAUGUUGCAUUUCAUGUUGCCUUGCAUGGUGUUUUGUCUGGAAAAUACAUUUUCAAAAUGCGAAUAAGAUCAAAUAGGUUUUGCUCUUUUUUUUAAAAAAAAAGUUUUGAAUUCAAUUUUUUUAAAUCAAGUUUUAGAGCUGGAAAACUUGCACCAAAUUUUCAUCCCAGUCUCCUUUGUUUCUUUUUCUUCUAUCUAUUUUCGGCCAAAUUCCACGGCCACAGCACAACCAGCUCCCUCUUUCCUUCUCACUUCCUGGAGGACCCACCCGUCAGGGUCAUCUUCUAGCUCCAGCACCCUUUUCCCCUCUGUUCCGUGCCCACCGAGCCGAGCUCAUUCCACCUCCCAUGGCCACCCUCUCCUUUUCUCGUCAGUGCGUCCCAAGUGCGCCACCAGUACCAGCUCGCCUCCCCUCCACUAUGGUGUCAACGGUGUCUCCAUCUGCAGUGACGCAACAUGGCCGUCGACUCGCCACCCAAAAGUCAUACAAUCCAAAUGCCUAUCCUUAUCCCAAAAGAAAAAAAAGACAGACAAACAAAUGCCUAUCAAGAUGUACUCUUAAGUCCAAGGACAAAGAAAGAGGCCAUUCGACAUGACUUGGACUGCUACAUGUGUUUUGACUGAAAGAGUGUUCUGCUAAUUUGGUUACUUUCCACUUACAAAAGAAAAAAGUGGCGCCACUAUUUGUUGUUUUGCUGCUGUGCUGCACCAGCGAGCGAGGACUCUGCAUUUGACAGACUGCGCCUCAAAGCAUGAGUACUCUGCAUGUGCUCGUCCUCGUGCUCCUGCUCCAUUCUAUGUGCAGUCAUGCAUCUUCCUCCUUGGAGCAGCAAGUGGCUGAUGGUGAUCGAAGAGCCCUGCUGGCAAUCAAGCUGGAGCUCUCCGACCCCAUGGGCUGGCUGAGCUCGUGGAACAGAACAAGCUCCGAUGUCUGCCAGUGGGCCGGCGUGACAUGCAGCCGCCAGCACCCUGGCAGGGUGGCGUCGCUGGACUUGUCAUCGAGACAGCUCUCGGGCAUCGUCUCUCCAGCGAUCGGCAACCUCACGUUCCUGCGGAAGCUCAACCUGGAAUCCAACAUGCUGGCCGGCGAGGUGCCACUCACCGUCGGCCGGCUACGCCGCCUGCGUUUCCUUUCUCUGUUCAACAACUCCUUCCGUGGUGAGAUCCCUCGAGAAAUAUGCAACUGCUCCAACCUAGUCCGACUUUCCCUCGGAGUCAACCAAAUGGAAGGUGAAAUUCCUGCUGGGCUUGGAUUGCUGUCUCAGCUUCACAUCCUCUACAUCCACUACAAUAAUUUGGUAGGAAGCAUCCCACCAUCACUUGGUAAUCUUACCUUGCUUGAGACUCUUGAUGUCCUUGAGAACAGACUGGUAGGGAGCAUACCUGCAAGUCUUUCCCAUUUAGACCAUCUCAGAUCCUUUGAGGUGGGUAGAAAUAAUCUCUCCGGCACAAUUCCACCACUGCUCUUCAACAAAUCAUCGCUUCAAUAUUUCGGAGUUGCAUCGAACAAGCUGCAUGGAAGCUUGCCAGCUGAUGCAGGCGCCAACCUGCCGACUCUCAGAAAGUUCUUUUUGGGUAACAACCGGCUGUCUGGAACAAUUCCUAGUUCACUUGGUAACGCCACCAUGGUACAAGUGUUAGGUCUUGCACAGAACAGAUUCCAAGGGAGGGUGGCACCUGAGAUAGGGAAGCUCUGCCCAUUCGAAGUCCAGAUGGGUGUAAAUCAGCUGCAGGCAGAAGAUGAACAGGGUUGGGAGUUCUUCACUCUGUUUACAAACUGCACUCGUCUUCAACUGAUAGAUCUACCCCUCAACAGGCUAGGAGGCGUGCUUCCUACUUCCAUCGCAAAUUUUUCGACACAGAUCCAAUGGCUCAGCAUUGCGGCCAAUGGCAUCUCUGGAGUGGUCCCUUCAGGCCUGGGGAAUCUUGUCAACCUUAGCAACCUAGACAUGACUGAAAACAACCUGCAUGGUGUAAUUCCUGAAGAUAUCGCAAAACUUACAAGUCUGCAAGUAUUGUUGGUUGGAGAUAACCAAUUGUCAGGAAAUAUACCAUCUUCCUUCGGCAACCUCACACAACUUCAAAUGUUUUCCUUGUCAAACAAUAGGCUUGAUGGCCCCAUUCCUAGAAGCCUUGGUAACUUGACAAACUUACCUAACCUGGAUUUGUCCUCCAAUCUGCUCACUGGUUUUAUCCCUACUGAGAUCUUUGGCCUUCCGUUACUGACAGAUUACCUAUUGCUAUCUGAUAAUUACUUAUCCGGAGCUAUUCCUCCACAAGUUGGCAGCCUUAAACAUAUCCAAACUCUCAAUCUUUCGAAAAACAAUUUUUCCGGAGAAAUACCAACUAUAAUUGGUGAUUGUGCAUCUCUGGUCUACCUUGGCUUGGCUGACAACUAUUUCACGGGUAGGAUUCCCAAGUCGCUUGGUAAUCUGAGAGGCCUCAACACACUGAACCUCACAAGGAAUGCUUUGUCAGGCAGAAUACCGCAAGAGUUGGGUAACAUCAACGGCUUACAGGAAUUAUAUCUGGCACAUAAUAAUUUUUCCGGAAUCAUUCCAAAAGUUUUUGAGAACAUAAGUACCUUGGUUCAACUAGACCUCUCCUUUAAUAAUCUUGAUGGUGAGGUUCCAUCCUACGGGGUGUUUGCUAACAUGACUGGAUUCUCAAUGGUUGGAAAUGAUGGGCUCUGUGGUGGCAUUCGAGAGCUAGAAUUGCCUCCAUGUCAGGAUAUGCCUCAUAAGAAGCGCCAUCACACAUUGCUUAGGGUUGUGCUUCCCAUUGCUGGUGCUAUUAUAUGCAUCUCUCUUCUAUUGUUUCUGCUCUUUCUGUUAAAGUGGAAAAUAACACCUGAGAAGAUGAAAACUGAUAACCGUAUUGGGUUGACGGACAAGUAUCCCAGAGUUUCCUACCUUGAAUUGUUUGAAGCUACUGAUGGAUUUACACCCGCGAAUCUGGUAGGCGCAGGAAAAUAUGGUUCUGUAUAAAGGAAGUCUGUCUCUUCCGGCAGUCAGAAAUGCUGCCGUAGCUGUGAAAGUGUUCACUCUUCAGCAAUCUGGUUCUUCAAAAAGUUUCUUGGCAGAAUGUGGGGCUCUGAGACGGGUGAAACAUCGGAAUUUGAUCAAUAUUAUUACCUGCUGCUCUAGUGUUGACACUAGAGGCAACGACUUCCAGGCACUAGUAUUUGAGUUCAUGCCCAACUACAGCCUGGAUAGAUGGCUGCAUCCGCGAACAGAUGAGCAGCUGCACAAGUUAAAUCUAAUCCAACUCUUGAAUAUUGCAGUUGAUGUUGCAGAUGCAAUAGAUUAUCUUCACAACAAUAGUCGGCCAUCAGUCAUCCAUUGUGAUUUGAAGCCCAACAACAUCCUCCUUGAUAGUGACUGGACUGCUUACGUCGCUGACUUCGGACUCUCAAAACUGAUUGGUGAAUCUGUGAACAUAUCUGGCUCAUAUACUGGAAGCUCCAUAGGGAUAAGAGGAACCGUUGGGUACGUUGCUCCAGGUAAUUGUAAUGUCCACCGUACGCAAUUCUUAACCAACUUAGUUUGUGCACAAAUCAGAACUGAGAAUUUAAUCAUCAACAUACUUGUUGUCGCAGAAUAUGGAGCAGGUGGGCCUGUAUCCAGUGCCGGUGAUGCUUACAGCUUCGGGAUUACCCUUCUGGAGAUGUUCACAGGGAGAGCACCAACUGACGAUAUGUUCAGAGAAGGCUUGAGCUUGCACUUGUUUGCUGAGAUGGCAUUACCUGACAAGUUGACAGAAAUAGUGGAUACAGUGCUAUUAGAGGUGCAACCAUGUGAAAACGCUGCAAAGGAUGACAAAAUACUGGCUUGCUUAGCUUCGGUUGUCAGAGUCGGCAUCUCGUGCUCAAAGCAAAUCCCGUCAGAAAGAAUGAGCAUGAAAGAUGCAGCCAUUGAGCUGCAUAGAAUCAGAUACGUGGUAAUGGAGCCCUCUAUAUAGGAUCGGAAUUUUGAUUCCCUAGUGUUCUCCUGGUCCUGCUGUACUUUUCAGGCCGCAACUGAAAACAAUAGAAAUUUCCUUGGGGAAAUGUGGUACAGUGCCUCCACAUACAUAACGAAAGUCUGAGGCAGUCAUACAUGAUAGAGAAGCAUGAAUCUGUCAAGCAAAAUGGCACCAUCAGACUGCAUGUAUGUAUUUAUUUGGUACUUAAUAAAGCAUGCCGUGCAAAAUGUAAGUUUUCCCCCCUAUUUUAUAAACAUGCCAAAGCAAUGUUGGAGUGCAGUGAAGGAGAGUAUAUUCAUAACGGCUCACAACCACGUUCUAUCAGUAUUUUAGAACGAUUGAUCAGAGUAGGAGCCGGCAGGCAUGCUCAUGCACAUUCCUGAGCAUUGGUCCCUCGCAGGCAAAGCAGCGAACACCUUGUGCACAGCCGCCGGCGACAUGCCUAACGAGGAAGCAAACGAGCAGAGACGAUGAUGGUAUUGCGGUCAGGCGUGCGUACCUUGCAAAGUAGCCUGUGUGGACGACACGCACGCGUUGCGGCAUGGAACCAUGGAGGCGAGAGCGUGGCGAAGACGAAGGCGACCGUGGUCCCGGCGUGGGCGCGCCUGGAUCACGUGGCGUCGCGCCGUCGCCGUCGCCGGCGCACGCGAGCAGGGUGCGACGCCCCUGCGUACGUUCCCGUGGCUGGGCGCGCGAACCACGUCGAGGCCGGUGGAUACUGGCAAGAAGAACAGCUGAACAAGGUCAGCGUCGCCGGCGAUGUCAUGUCGCGCCCGGCGAGCACGAAGCUGCUAGUGACCACGCCACCGGAGGUUCUCGUCGCUCGCGGUCGCGGCGAAACGUGACCAGGACACUGGGUGUGGUCCCAGACUGGAAGACCGGCGGGGCGGCGCUCCGGCGAGCAACAAGCCGACGACAAGGGGGUGGACGGUAAACGAAAUGACGACCGGGGGUGGAUACCUGACAGCCGUUGGAUCUAGCAGUGCGGUCCAGAUCGGGCGAGAUUUGCAUAGGCAGCCCUCUCGCGGGCGCGGGCGCGCGGGAGCUUGGUGUCGCCAUGCUAGAGGCCAGACGGCGGGAGCACGAUGCCGCGCGGAGGCGCUCUGCGCCGAGGGCCUGCCGGUCGCGCUGCCCGCGCUCGCGGCGUUGUCCCUGCCGUCUCCGUGCGAGGCCUGGGUAUUGCCGCCGCGUCGGUCCCGUUCGCCGGCAUCUGCGGCGCUGUCCCUGCCCGUGCCCGAGAACGCGCUCGCCGGCGUCAUCGGCGAGGUGACCGCGUGGCGUGCACGGGGCUCCAGGACCUGACGCUCGCGUUCAAACGGCUUCGGUGGCGCCGUGCCAAAUGGCCCAAACCUCUCGCCGCCGACGAAGCUCCGUACUCUCAAGAAUCUCCUCGAACAGCGCUUCGCCGGCGCGUUCCCGAUGACUUCCCGUGGGCAUCCCUCGCCGCCGCGCCGAUGUGUUCUACGUAGUAGCAAUGCACGAGGAAAUUUUCACGCGGUGUGUUCGCAUCAGUCCCUGUUCUUGAUCAGUUGGGGUACUAUCAAAUAUCAAUCAAAUGUCCUCGUUUGGAAAAUCUUCGGAGUUGGGUUGGACAGGGACCGAGCUAAGCUAGCGCCCAAAUGCUGUACUGCCUGAAGAGUGAAGAUUCCGUGCGUGGCAGCUCAUUUCGUGGUAGAGAGACAGAUUGCUUUUAGUUGUGAAUUUCUAAAAAAAAAAGCACUCGCAAGAAACAGAGGGUCUGUUUAUGAGAGAGAAAUAUUGUUCGGUGGCUGAUAAACCGGCUGAUAAGCUGAAGCGAACGGGCUGAGAGAAACGAGAGCAGGUGCUGCCAGCAUUUCCUCGAUCGGAUUACGAAAUUGUAGUAGCUCUUUGCCCUUCGACGUAUACGCUUCCGCUCCUUUUCUUCGAAGGGGUGGGUGAAGAUGAAGCCCAGCAAAUGGAAAUGGAAGGACGGAUGCCGGCUUGAUUGCUUCGUUCCCACGAUCGAGGAGACUAACCGUCCGACCUUGACUGAAGUCCAAACGAUGCCACGAUCUCGGCUUAUAAAAAUGCCUAAAAAUUGUGAUGCUUGGCGUGCUCACUCAGGAUGUCUAUCUUUGUGAGGAGCCCCACCGGCAGGACAAUCCGCCUCCGGGUCCAACCAUCAGAUACAUUGUAUAAUGUUAAGGAAAAGAUUUUGGAACAACACCGCCUUGCCUUUGAUGGAGAGCAGCUAGACGACAACCUUACACUAGCUGAUUGCGACAUCCAGCAUGAACAACACCGCCCAGCUAUUCGGCAUGCGGCCCAGUUCGCUUCAGCUAUUCGGCAUGCGGCCCAGUUCGCUUCAGGGUUGCAGCUGUUGCUGUACAGCCCAGCCGUUCGGCAGGGCCCAAAACAGCAACAAGCCAGCAGGCCAGCCCAACGGCUGCAAGGCCCAGGCUGUUCCGGUCUCCUACCCGUCAGCGCCAGGCCUGCCCCCGUCGUCUCCACUCUCCUCCUCGGUCCGUUCUUCCGCCUCCCGUCUCCCGUCGCCUCCCACCGAAGGCCGAUCCGCCGCCCCGCACUCCGCCCGGCCCUGCCGCCCACUCCGCCUCCGGCCGGCCCCUCCCCCGCCGCCGGCCAGCCCCGCCCCCGCCGCCCUCCGCCCCGCCGUCGCCGCCCCGCCUCACCAGCGACGGGACCUCGCCGGAGCCGGCGUCGACGCACUGCCGCGUCUCCGCCCGCCAACGUGAGUAUCCCUCCAAUCUCCAAUCCUCUCCAUUCUCGAUCUGCACGUUUGAAUGCUGCUAGAUUAGGCAGUAAGAUCUCGUGUGCCUUCACUUUUGUUAUCUACACUAUUGUGAACCAUUAUUCUGCUCUGUAGUAUAAUUUUGUAGUAGGCAAACAAUCCAUUGCACCAAUUUUACUUACUGCUCAUCUUUAGCAAGAGGCAAAUUGUUCCAAAUCUGAAACUCAAGUGAUCACCUCUGAACUUGCAUACUACUGGUGUGCUUUUGUCAGCUGCACUGACCAAUACCUCUAAUUGAAAGGGCUGCAUUGUUGGCAAUCUCUGCCCAUUGUUGCAUUGCCUGCUUGCUCUGCCUUGCCCUCGGAAAUCAACUGACGCUGAUCUAUCUGACUGAACUGGACGGUGCACCUUCUAAUUGACAACGGCUGCAUCAUACUCACAGCCGCUACUCUGGACUGCCACAAAUGCAGCCAUCACCACCACGGGCAUUGCUAUUUUGCAUCUGCACUGCUGCUGCUUUCAUCUUGUUAGUGGCUAGUUUUAGUGAUAUAAACCACUGAAUCCACUCAGUAACAUUCAGUGGGUGCGAACUGGGAAGUGGCAACUAAUCAUUGCUAUUUGCUUCCUGCUAAAAUUAGCUGCCUUUAAAUUCUCUCCUCCCUUUUGACAGUAAAUAUUAUUAUUAUUCUUUUUUUUGCUCAUUACUAUUUACUUCCUGCAUUAAAAUAUGACAAUGUUUUGACUGCCUUUUAAAUUUUUAAAACAAACGCGCCAAGACAACUGCUAAGGCAAGUGACAUGUUCAUUACGUACAUCAUGGACCAAGAAUUUGAAAAGAGGGUAUGCCUAGCCAAAAAUUCCAAUAGAAAAUAUGGUGCAAUCCAAUAAAUGAUUCUCUAACAAAGAAUCAUGUGUGCACGAUAGUUUACAAACUGUGUUCUCAUAUUUUGAUAAAGAAAUCAGGGAAGCGUUAUCUCCAGCAUAAUUUGAGUAGCAGCAGCAGGAGCAUGGAACGAGCGAAAUAAUAGAUCGCAUACUGUCAACGCUUCCUUGAUUUCUUUAUCAAAAUAUGAGAACACAGUUUGUAAACUAUCGUGCACACAUGAUUCCUUGAUAUUGUAAUUUUUGCAUGACCUGAUAUAUGUUCGUUAUAAUUUAUGCAAGUUUUGAACUCACUUGUCGACUUUAAGGUAUUAUAUGAGACUUUUUAAAUGUAUUAUCAUACUUAUGGUUACUUUAUACUAGUAAAAUGAUUUCUGGAGAAUUUUGUUAACGAAUCAUUUAUUGGAUUACACCAUAUUUUCUAUUGGAAAUUUUGGCUAGGCAUACCCUCUUUUCAAAUUCUUGGUCCACGACGCGGCUUAUUUGGUGUUUUGGUUUGUGCGUGCAGACUGGGUGCUGAAGAGGAGAAGCUAUAGGCGCUGUCGAUGACGGCCAUGGAGUAGCAUCCCAAAGCUAGCACCUUUGUUUCCGCUCCUGCGCCAUUGCCUGCACUUCCCGCUUAGUUUCCCGAUGAUCCUCUGCAACGCAUUGAGGACCGUUCGCAGACUCCGGUGGGUUCCUCGGGUUCAGCUCAUUGUGGAGCACAGUGAGCCAUACCGAGCGGCACAUUUGUGUGCAACUGCUACCCGUUAUUGGGAUGUUCAAGAAUCAUCAGCUACCUCAAUUUGUGGGUUCACACCAAUUGGUCAUGAGUAUCAGUUGCGGCCUUACUCAGCUGCUCCCGCACGCCGUGGGGAGGAGAAACCCUUGGAUGAGGAUGAGGAUGAGGAGGAGGUGGUGGUCGAUAAGGAGCUCAAGCGAAUGGAGAGGAGCCGGGUUUUCUGGACUGCACAGCAGACUUUCAUGGAGUACCUCCAUUUCACACGGGGGCUGCCCUUUGCCGAUGCUGAGCAUAUAAGCAAGCACUCGCCUGCCUUUGUGAGCAAGCUGCUGGACCAGGUGAAGGAUGCUAUCAAGGACCCUGUGGAGGGGGGUGAGGAGGUGGUGUUCAUGUCAAAGGUGAAGAAGACUGAGGUGAGGGAUCAGAGGGCCACUAAGGCAUUGGUGCGGCUGUUCCGGUACCACCCUGUCAACGAGUUCGAGCCGUUCUUCGAGAGCAUGGGCCUCAAGCCAGGCAAGUAUGAUUCCUUUCUACCUCGGGAUCUCAUGUUUCUUGCCGAUGAUGAGACAUUGCUGGAGAACUACCACUUUCUUUGUAAUUAUGGGUUUGCGCGUACUAAGAUAGGGAGGAUAUACAUGGCUGCUGUGGAGUUUUUUAGAUCUGGUGACAAUGUGCUUCCAUCUAAGCUAAGUGCUCUUGAGGAUCUAGGGUUCAGUAAAACAACUGUGAUAAAACUUGUGACCUCUUGCCCUGUCAUAUUGGCACGUGACCUAAAUGCUGAAUUCAAGAUCAUGCAGUGGCUAGAUGAUUGUGGCAUUAAGAGAGACUGGAUCGGUCAAUUCUUAUCUGUGCAGAAGUCAUAUGAUUGGAAAAAGAUGGUUGAAAUUCCUCAAUUUUUCACUGAAUUGGGAUUUGAUAAGGAGGGUAUUGGUAAAUUGAUCAGCCAAAACCCAGAUUUCCUGUUGGAUGGUUCUGGAAAGGUACUGUUUAGAGUGGUUACCAUCAUGCUGAAAGCAGGUUCUGAAAAAAAGGAUCUAUUUAAUCUUUUCCUGGACUUCCCAGAUGUACCAGCCAGCGAUUUCGCGAGGAACAUACAGAGUGUUAUACUAUUGUUAGCUGAUAUUGAUGUAUGUGAUGAGGAUAUUAAGCAGUUUGUAGUAGCAAAUGCGUCAAUCCUUGGUUCUGCUCGAGUGAAGGCGGCCAACAGCAUUCUUACAAAUCUCAGUGUGGGAAAGAGGCGUUUGUGGAAGAUUAUAAAGGAGGAUCCACGGCAAUUGAUGAAAUACAAAUUAGGGACAAAGCUCAGCCGCCUGCCAUCUUGUGACAGGAGUACUGACCAAUCAUUGGAGGAGAAGGUAAAAUUUUUGAAAGGCAUAGGAUUUGUGGAAGGCUCUGAGGAUAUGAAGAAGGCACUCAAAUCUUUCCGUGGUAAGGGUGAUGAACUCCAAGAUCGGUUUGACUUUUUGGUUAGGACUGGACUUUCGCCAAAGGAUGUAGUGAACAUGAUCAAGAUAGCUCCACAUGUUUUGAAUCAGAAGAUACAUGUCCUUGAGUCCAAGAUAUCUUUCCUUUUAAAUGAGACAGCUUAUCCCCUAAGUGCUCUAGUUACGUUCCCCUCAUUCUUGUCAUUCACUGUCGAGAGAACCAAAGUUAGGUUUUUAAUGUACAAUUGGCUGCAAGAAAGGGGGGUGGUUGCUCCCAAUUUUGCGCUAGCCACUUUCCUAGCUUGUUCGGAGAAAGAUUUUAUUAAGCAUUAUGUAAGAAAACAUGAAUUGGGUCCAGAGGUCUUUGAGAAGUUCAAGAGGGAGGUGGCUGAAACCAAAAACAUGCAUUGUACUUCAGAUGAUUAGUACGAUAUUAAUUGGUAUUUUGAAUUAGUUCCCUGAAUAUUGGCAGUUUUUCCUUUUGUUUUAUUUUACUUUUGUCUGUGCCUACAGGUUUGCUUGUUGGUUUGGUGCAGACCAAUAGACGCCCUACUUUGUGUAGACCUAACUCUUUCAUAAGCUGUCCAAUUAGCCCAUGUCAUUUGACAAUAUCUGUGCUUUUAAAGGCAUUUGAUGGCACUACUUCUAGCUGUUAACCCACAAAAAUGUUUGCGUGAGGUUCUCAAGGCUUUGAAUUAAAUAGUUUGUUAAAUUGUUUGGCGCUGAGUCUUAUGUCAACAUGUUUUCGAGAACAAGGAUACUGACAUAGGAGAUCAUAGUUUGGAAAGGUCUGUCAGGAAGGACUUGAUCGACAGGGCAUUGUUAGCUCAAAAACUUUCAAUGAACAAGAAGGAUCAGAUCUCAAUCUACAAAAUUGUGCAAAUGAUCCUUCACGUGUGGAUGACUUUCAUGUCCAAAUUUCUGAGUCUGCCAAUGAUUACUAUCCAUUUUUGUGAAAUUCUGAGUCCAUUUCUGUAAUCUAUACAUUGUCUGUACUGUAAUACUUCAAACAUGAUUAGCUCAUUAGCGUAUCUCUGAACAUUGUUUCUUGAAUGAUGAAUGGGGUCUGUUGUUAAUUACACAGUACUGCUUUGUUUGGUGAACUAAUUUGCUACAUGCUUGCCUUUAUUGGCAAGACAGUUCAGUGAUUAUGUGUUCAUGAUAGAUCUCCAUUCUACAUUAGAUAUGGUGUCCUUUAAAAUGCAGUAUACGCACUUCAAUUUCAAAUGCUCUGCUCAUAUCAGUUUCAGUAUAUUGUCCUGUUUUCAACAGAGUAGUUUGAUAAACUGAUGAACGAUCAGGUGAAGGCAUUUGCUGCUGAGGCAUCAUUAACAUUCUGCCCUCAGAAGCUACCUGUGUCCUAGUUUUUUUCUAAAAAAAAAUAAAGUGAGUAUAUAGUGGCAUGUACUCCCUUAGUUCCGCAAAGACUCUAAAAUAUGUCCUCCCUUCCUUCCGCAAAGACUCUAACAUUUGUCCCACAAAGGGUAUCAUUUUACCUCCUAGUAAACCUCACUAAUUAAAGCAACACUCACACUAAUAAAAAAAGCAUAUGAAGAAGCGCGUAGAGCCAAUCAAAUGAUCAAUUGAUGUUAUUUUCCUAGUUUCAAUGCAGGUGCAUUUAUUUAGGAUCCAGAAGAUAGAACAAUUUUCAAUCACGAUUAGUAUUAGUUAUUAGGUCAGUCUCAGUGCAUGGUUUCAUCACAUUGUUACCAAGACUACCAUGUCAUCUUUUCAAUGAAACGAAACUGUCACUCUUAAUGUGCAAUUUCAUCAUGCAACAAUUAAUUUUUGUAUAGAGUUAUGAUCAAUUGUAUCAUGCGAUGAAACUACAAUAUUCUCAGCGCAAGUUUCAUUAGGUUUCAUAGAACUAGGUAACUGUGACAGCUGGGUUUAAAUUUCAUUGUGUUUCAUGGGACUAGGUGACUGUGCUAGCUGGGUUUCAAGGCGUGAAACUCCCUUGUUCUUUCUCCUCAUAAUUAGGUUGCCAAGUCAGCAAAACUGCUGAUGUGACAUAGGAUUUAAUGUCCAUGAAACUCCACUGAGAAUGACGGGGCAACAUAGAACAAAACCUGCGUACAAAGCCUGAUGAACAUAUGCAUCUUGUUUCUUCAGUUUGCAGAACAAAACCUCUUGUAGUCUUAGCUGAUUGCCUUAUAGUACUAGAAUUAUAUAUGUUAGAAUUAUAAGUUACCUUCAGGUUUUAAAUUGUUGGUCUUUGUGAAUGGUUUUGGACAUGCAGGUAGGUCUUUGAUGUUGCAAAAAGGAGGUCAAGGAUGAAAACUCUAUUGUCAAAAAUUGUGUAGUAAACUCUAUUGUCAAAAGGACACGUGACUCCGAAAUAAAUUCGUGGCGUUUCACAUUAUUUCUUCCAAACCCCACUCCCUGUCACUCUGGCGGAUCAACACCACACGCGACGCCUCGUGAUCCUCGCGGCACGAAUCUCGGAGCAAAAUCGACGUCGUUGAAAUCUCCGGCCAUUCGUAUCCCUCCUGAUUCACCGGGCCCACCAUCCCGUCGCCGUUUAAAUGUUUCGUGCACAUUCAUUGAUCGACUCGACUCCACCACCACACCGUCUCUCUCCGCAGUUCGCACUCAGCAUUGUUGUUGGCGCUCUCACCGGCGAGCAGCGAACAGAGAGGUGCGAUCUCUUGCUCCAGCUCCCCACUUCUUCCCCGCCUCCGACUCGCCGGCAACCGCGGCCUCGCCGCGUUUGAUCUUUGCCUUCAAUGGGCGCCGCCAACUUUAGGUUGCCCUUUUGGUGUCGGCGAUUCUGUUGCAGAGUUGCAGGCCGUCCCCGAGCGAAAGGGUUUUUUUUUUUGUGUUGUGUGGUUGGUUGGUUCAAGUUGGGGUAUCUCAGUUGCGAGAGUUGCUAAUAAUAGAUGUGAUGUUCCUCGAAAGAAAAUAGAUGUGAUGACCUUUCUUCUGUAGAAUUUUGCAUUUUAUUUUUAGAAAUAAAAGGUGGAGAAGUUGGCGUGAUGCAGACAUGUCCGAUGAUGAUAGACGAUCGUUUUAUUUGGGGGAGAGUUUUUAUUGCCUUUGACUAGAACCAUCGUGUGCUAUAUAUGCAAAACAAAGUCUUUAGGAAGUGAUUUGUAUCACGGAUUUGAAUUGUAUGCCCAAUACUAUGUUGUGUAGCCUUCCCUUGUCAUUUCGUUUAUAAGCAAAAUAAUAUAUCACACUCUGCAUUUGUUGGUUUCCGCUUUAAAAACAAGGGCAAUUCAAAAAUGGCAGAACGGUUCGUAGAGCACACAACAGGUUUAUUUAUAAAAAAUGCAUUGAUAGAUGAGAGGUUCCUAUUGCGUAUCUAACAACCUGUUGGUGCCAACUAAUUAGAUGCUUUACUUUUAAAAUUAUACGAAAGCUCAUACAUAAAGGAGCAGCAUGUCGAUCGACCUUUGUGACUGUUACAUUCAUCUUAUUUAUCCUGCCACCUGUUUGAGUCGUUGACAUUUUUGGCUACUUUUCUAUAGCCCAAACAAAAGUCAGAUGAAAGCAUCUGCUGUUUAUUUAGUUGCUGGUGGAAAUUAAUGGCUGCAUGCUCUGUUCAUUCAAUUAGAUAGAUCGAUGCAAUAUUGUAGAUUCUCUGAAGUCUGCUCUAGCUUCUUUAACAUGCAUUACAGUCUUCUUUGCUGAUUUGGAGUUAGCCUGUUGGUGGUUCAAUAUAUUCCAAUAGAAAGUGCUCAGGAAAAGGAGAACUGCAUAUUCACUUUAUCUCUUCAAUGUACAGAACUGAGUGAACCAUGUAAAUUUUUAAUGAUUGCUCAAAAACUUGGUAUGCUAGGCUUAAUGCGACACCGGCCUUGUUCUGUCAUUCUGUACAAAUUGUAUUUAAGCAGUAGAUUUCUUUUCUUGCUUCUACUGUUUUUAAGAUAACAAGUUCCUGCUUCUACUACCUGCUGGAUGAGUUGGCUUUUUUUCUUUUGUUGAUGCAUAGCCUAAAUAAAAGAUGGAUUAAGGCAUUUUUGUCUAAGAAAUUGUGAUGCUUACCAUGCUCAUUCAGAAUGCAUAUCUUCGUGAGGAGCCCCACCGGCAGAACAAUCCGCCUCCGGGUCCAACCAUCAGAUACCUUGCGUACCGUUAAGGCGAAGAUUCUCGAACAGCACCGCCUUGUCUUUGAUGGAGAGCAGCUAGAUGAAAACCUUACAUUGGCUGAUUAUGACAUCCAGCAUCAAUCCACGCUUGACCUCCAAGAAAAGAUGCAAAUCUAUGUAAUGGAGACGCUAAAAGGCAAGACCAUCACACUUGAGGUUGACAACUUAGAUACUAUUGACAACGUGAAGAGCAGGAUUGAAUAUACCGAGGGAUUUCCCAAGGGUCAGCAGUGCCUCAUCUUCGACAACAAACAGUUGGACGACAGCAGCACCUUGGCGGACCACAACAUUUGGAAGGAGUCCACCGUUCUCCUUGUCCUCCACCCAUUUCCAAGAGGUAGGAUGCAGAUCUUUGCGAAGACGCUGUACGGAACAACCAUCCCUCUUGAGGUUGAGAGCUCAGAUACCAUUGAUGCUGUCAAGCUGAAGAUCUACGAGAAGGAUGGCACUCGCCCCAAACAGCAACGCCUCAUCUUUUUUGGCAGAAAAAUGGAGGGCAGCCGCACCCUGGCAGACUAUAACAUCCAGCACCAAUCUACCAUCCAUGUGGUGCUCUGCCUUUGCGGUUGUUGAGAUAUUUAUAAUGAUCGCUGAAAAGUACACGAUCUUGUGCUUAAUCGUUUUUCUUUCUUCCUGGCGCUUCGUCGCUCAUAAAGACUUCCUCUUUAUCAUGGCACAAUCUCAUGCGGGUUUGUUAAAAAAAAAUCGCUGAAGACAGAUCUGGUUCUGGUGCAGCCUUGCAGGCCAUAAAACUUAUUUGGUUUCAUCUGCUGAUGCUUGCUAUGAUCCUGUAAUAAUGUGUUUAUCAUAAUGCAGUGUUCCCUGCAUUACAAAUUUGUAUUUAAUUUUCUUGCUUUGUCCUUAAAAUUACUCUUUUCCUUUAUUUUCUGCAAGAUGUGUAAUUUAUAUCUACAAGAUUUUGAAAUAGAUGAAACUUCUCGGAAAUAAUUUGUAAUUUUCAUUUAUAUUUUCAUUGAUUACUGGAGAUGGAUCUGGUGCACACGAUAAAAAUUUAUAUGUUCCAUAUGCUGAUGGCUGAUGCGGGUUGUAAUAUCCUUUAUCCUGCUUCCUUUUUUUAACCAUGCCAGGAUAGAUUUUGGCUCACAACUGUUGUACACCCACAAAACAUAAGCAAAAUGCAUCAUUUGCUUCAAAAUUUCUAGGACUUCUGGACCUACCAUCACAAUUCAAGUUAGCGAAUGAAUCGGCACCGAGUUCUUCCGGACGACUUUUCAUGCGUAAUUAGUCUGUAUAGUACAUUAGGAGAAAAAAAGGAUGGACAUUGGAAUAAUAACACGUGGCUGUCAUGGAGACUACGCAGAGAGAGAGAGAAAGUAGAAUUUAAUUGGAAAUUUCUUGUGAAAGCUAUGGCAAUAACCUGUAUAGCAACUGACAGGCGUUCAACUAAGAGGGCUGGAUCGAAAUGCAUGGACGAUGAUGGUUUAGUUUACUCAUUGUUGGAUCCAUGAGCUGAAGUUCGGGUCACAUCAGAUAUUGGAUUGCUAAUUAGGAGUAUUAAAUGUAGACUAAUAAUAAAAAUAAUUGCAUAAAUGAGGGCUAAUUCACAAGACGAAUCUAUUAAGCCUAAUUAAUCCAUAAUUAACAUAGCUUCCUUGCCAUCCCACCUACACACCACAUCUAUCUAUAUAGGGGAUGCUAUCCUUUUGUAUUAACUCAUGGAAGACCCUUUAAUCCGGGUUGGUAAUUCCAACCGGGAUUAAAGACCUCAUUUAAUCCCGGUUGGUAAUACCAACCGGGAUAAAAAGUUUCGAUGGAUUUAGUCUUUUCCCAGCCACACAUGGGGAUCCUUUUUAUCCCGGUUGGAAACACCAACGAGGAUAAAAAGGGUCCGAGGACUUUAUUCUUUUUUCAGCCACCCGUAGGGGAUCCUUUUAUCCCGGUUAGAGUUUCCAACCGGGAUUAAAGGACCCCCUUUUAUCCCGAUUGCUUUAGUCCCAGGUGGUAAUACCAACCGGGACUAAAGGGUGACCUUUUAGUCCCGGUUGAUCUUACCAACCCGGACUAAACAAUCCCCCACGUGUGCCUGGAUUUUUCAACCGGGACUAAAGGAUUCCCACGGAUGGCUGAUUUUUGAACCGGGACUAAAAGAUCCUUUUAGUCCCGAUUGCAAAUACCAACCGAGAGUAACUUGUAGCGCACCCCUUUUCUCCCGAGCUGAAAUUAAACCGAAACUAAAGAGGUGGUAUCUAAAGUCAGUUCUAACAUUAUAACACUUUGACGGUGGUGUAGCGUACGACGCCGCGCUAGAGCCGCUGGAAGCAAUCAUGCGAGCUGACUGAGGACGUCAUAGUCGGUGUCGAGUUAAGGAUGAAGUUUAUCGCAGACGCUGGACCCGCGCAGGACCUCGCAGAUCAACAGUCAUCUGUCAGGGCACGAUCAACAGUCUAAACAACUGUCAUCUGUAAGUGUUUUGAAAAUCACACAUAGAGUGUUUUAACAGACAUCUUUAUACAAUGACUUGUCUAUUAUCUGUAGAUCAUUUAAUUCGUAAAGGGCACAUAGUUUAUGGUGAUGAAGUUCAUCUUUGUAGCUAUUUUGUUGCUUGUUUUGAUCUUAAAUUUCUUGUUGAGAUACAAAUAUAAUAUAAUUUUUGUUAAUAGAUAGAAUGAUAUUAUGAUUCACUAAAGUACAAAAUACAUAAUAUAAAUCGUAUGUUUUUACAUAAAAUGAUGGAUUCGAAGACUAACAUUCAAAAACAUUUGACAUUCAGAACUCUGGCCUGCAGGCCACGCGUGCUCUUGCUUAUACCAGUUAUCAUGCCGUUCAGCCAGCAAAGCAUGUUCAUUGUAUACCUUUUCCUCUCUCACCUUAUCCUUUCACAUGAGCCCAAGCCCACCCGUCUUCUAUGUUUCUAAUCUCUCUCUCUACCUCGUGUGCUUGGCUCGCUGUGCAUCGUGAUCUUGCUUGUGAACAAACUUUGCGCUGCUUCCCCUCACACAUAUAUAUGAGCCACAGGCUCUCGCUCGACGGACAGGUGGCUCUCGCUCACACAUAUGCUUCCCCUGUAUCUCCCGCUCUUUCACAGUCGCCCUUUGCACUCGAGUCAGCGUGAUGUGGAUGACAGAGCGGCCCGACGAGGUUGCCUAGGUGGGGUGCGGCGGGGUGCUGCCGGCGAAGGUCGGCUCAGCUCGAUGCAUCUAUCGGUGCAUGGCAGCGCGGCGUGGUGCGGGAGGAAGGGUGCGGCGGGUUGUUACCGGCGAGGCAAGGCUCAAUGCUUCCAUCGGUGGUAGCGCAGCACGGGAGACGGAUUUGUCUAAUUUCACAGUGGAUUCGGAGCCGUCGGCCACCGCUCAUACAACAAGAAUGAGGUUGUCCGCAGCACGUCGGAGCACGAGUCGCUGCCGUCGUCUUGCGUCCCUCUCUCUCCUUUACCACUGAUCCGCGUCAACAAAACAAGCCUACGUGGCAUCAUAUAAAAAUGGAAUUAAUUGCCUUUGUACGUGCCUUAGGCCUCCUCUGGCAUGUGUGCGAGAUUCAGAGGCGCUCGCAAAUGACAGUUCCUUUAUUGUAAUAGAACAGAGAUGUAUCAGCUUUUGAUGCUUUAAAGCCCAGCUGACACAACUUAUUACUCAGCCGUGAAUACCAUGCUCUUGGUGCUUGUUUAAGCCCAUAUAAGGUCUUGUCAAGUUUGCAGAUAUACCCAUUCUUUGACUUGUCCUCAUAACCAGGUGGUUGUUUCAUAUACACAUCUUCUUCUAGAUACCCAUGAAGAAAAGCAUUUUGUACAUCGAGCUGACGUAGGCUCCACCCUCUAGAGACAGCAACGGACAAAAUAGUUCUGAUAGUAGCUGGUUUCACAACUGGGCUGAAAGUAUCCUCAUAAUCAAUACCAUAGCGUUGUCUAAAUCCCUUUGCUACUAGCCUGGCUUUGUAUCUAUCCAAACUCCCAUCAGAUUUACGUUUCACUUUAUAUACCUAUAUACCCAUUUACAGUCAAUGACAUUAAUACCUUUCUUUGGUGGAACUAAGUGCCAAGUUUUAUUAUUAAUCAAAGCAUCAUAUUCUGCAUCCAUGGCUAGCUUCCAAUCUCUACUGUUCAGUGCUUCAUCAAGGGACUGUGGUUCACCAGAUGCGGUGAAACAUCCAUACCUGACGGUACCGUCUGUGUAGACUUUCGGCUUGCGAAUACCAUCACGAAGUCGAGUUCGUGGUCGCGGUGGAGUCUGAGUCUCUGUUGCAACUGUAGAGGGUCCAGCCACAGGGGGUCCAGCUUCUGGUGCCGGCACAAGGGUUCCAUCCGCAGCAGCAGAGCUGUUGAUGUCGGCAUCUGUGCCCCCCGUGCCUGCGGCAGGAUGGGACAUCGGUGCCGGCCCGGGCGAAGCGGCAGGAGGCACCACGUCAUCGGCAGUACGCGUGACCCCGCUCGGUUGGCGCACAGGGGAUGGCGUACCGGUGCGCGUAGCAGCCACUGGGACGGAAGUUGAAACUGCAGGGGCAGUACUGGCAUCAGCAGGAUCAGCAUGAUGGAAUGCCGAAUCUGCUUUAGGUUCCGUGUUGGGAGGCAAAGAGCUCCCCCUGUUAUCACACGCUGCAUGUGCACCAUCAUUAGUGGGGUUAGUGGAAUCAAAUACGUGAUCAACUAGCUGUUCCGUUUCAAGAGAGGGUACAAGGCCGGGUGGGAGGAGUGCAAUUUCUGCACGGAGGCGGGCACCUGCGUUGGAGUGUAGAGUAGAAAAGGGAAAAACUUCCUCGUCAAAGAUUACAUCUCUAGAAAUAUAUACCCGGCCGGAUUGAAUAUCAAGGCACUUAUAGCCUUUGUGAAGAUUGCUAUAACCCAAAAAGGCACACUGCUUAGAACGAAGUUCAAGUUUAUGGCGAUUGUAGGGUCGGAGAUUGGGCCAACAUGCGCAACCAAAGGUGCGAAGGGAAAAAUACUCUGGUUUUUGUUUGAGUGAACGCUCAAAAGGUGUUUGAUUAUCAAUGACUUUGCUAGGCAAACGAUUGAUAAGAAAUGUGGCAGCCAUAAAGGCCUCAUCCCAAAAUUUUAGGGGCAUUGAAGCAUGAGCUAGGAGGGAUAACCCAACCUCAACUAUGUGACGAUGCUUACGUUCAAUGACCCCAUUUUGUUGAUGAGCAUGGGGACAUGAUACAUGAUGAAUGAUGCCAACUUGGGAGAAGAAACUAUUUAAUUUUUUAUAUUCCCCGCCCCAAUCAGUUUGCAUAGCAAGAAUUUUUCGAUCAAAUUGUCGCUCAACCAUUUUUUGAAAUUCAUGAAACUUUUGGAAAACUUCAGAUUUAUACUUGAGAAAGUAAAUCCACGUAAAACGACUGAAGUCAUCAACAAAGCUAACAUAGUAGCGUUUUCUGCCCACAGAUUCAACUGCAGGACCCCAAACAUCGGAAUGAACAAGUUCCAAAGGAAAACUAGUUGAGCUAACAGAUCUUUUAUAAGGUAGCUGAUGACUCUUUGCUUGCUGACAAGCAUCACAAACUGAUUUCUUAUUGGACACGGAGGAACAAGAAAGAUUAUUACUGUCUAUGACCUUGGUAACAAUAGGAAACGAAGGAUGGCCUAGGCGAUUAUGCCAUCUAGACACGGUUGGCUUGUCAACUGCAUUUGCCUGCUUGACUGAAGAAUUGACAGGAAGGGGAUACAAUCCACGACGACAUGGCCCCUUAAGAAUCGUGUUCCUCGUAGCCUGAUCCUUGAUAAGAAAAAAAUCAGGAUGAAACUCAAUAAAGGCAGAAUUAUCUUUGGCAAGACGAUGAACGGAGACUAGAUUCUUUGCAGCUUUAGGAACAUGAAGGACAUUGUUUAGAUGCAAACUACGGGAUUGAGUUGGAACAGUAGUAUGACCAACGUAUUUAAUUUCCAUACCUGAACCAGAUGCAGUGUGAAUCUGGUCAUUUCCAUGGUACUUCUCCCUCAUCGUCAGCUUGUUUAGAUCACUUGUAACGUGAUCCGUUGCUCCCGUGUCGGUGUACCAGUUGGUGUCGACAUUGUAGGCGUUCAUGGCGAUGGCGGCGUUGACGUGGCGUUCUUCUGGGACAUAAUUUUCAUCAAACCGAUGCCAGCACCGGCUCGCCCUGUGGCCUGUCUUGAAGCAGAUCUGACAGAGCGAUGGAUCAUCAGACCCACUCGCCCCAUCAGGUCGUGGCUGCCGCCCGCCGUUACGCUGCUUCGAUGCACCGUUUCCUCGGCCACGCGCCUGGCCGCGCCCACGCUGACCACGGCCACGGGCAGUGCCCGAGCCACGGUUGCCAUGGCCACGCCCACGGUUUGCCAUGUGAGCAUAGGAGCCGCCAUCUUGCAGUUCCAGCCGGGUCUCAAAACUGAGCAGCUGAGCAUACAGGUCAGGAAUCGAGAUGGGAUCCAAUCUAGUAGUGACUGAUGUCACCACUGGAUUGUAAUCGGCAUCAAGACCAUUGCAGAUGUGCGCCACUAGUUCUUCAUCAUCUAGAGCCUUGCCGACGGCAGCCAUUUCGUCUGCAAAACCUUUCAUCUUGGAAACAUAUUCUGUGAUCGACAUGGUACCUUUCUUCGUAGUGGUGAGGGCAAGCCUCACAUUCAUCGUCUUGGCGCGGGUCUGCGCGGAGAACAUCUUCUCCACUGCUGACCAGGCUUGUCCUGCCGUCUCGGCAGUGUUGAUCUGCGCCUGAACAUCCUUCCCCGCACUGGACAGGAGGAACCAAAGGAUCUGCUGAUCCCGAGCAUACCAUGCCUCAAACGCAGGGUUGGGGUUGGUGACGGUCGUGCCGUCUGCCUUCUUCUCGACGAUCUCAGCAUCAGGGGCCUUGGUCUUGCCAUUGAUGUGCCCCUCGUAGCAAGCACCGCGGAUGGCGGCGAGGACCUGCGCUUUCCAUAGCGUAUGGUUGGUCUUGGACAACUUCUCGGUCACUUGGAAACCGAAGAAGGGAUUGGUGGUGGUGCUUGAACUCGACGCCAUGGAACCCUAGGCUCUGAUUACCAUGUGCGAGAUUCAGAGGCGCUCGGAAGAUGAGAGAAACGCCGGGACGAGCGUGUUGCGUGUUAAUAGAUCAAUAGCUGAAAAAGCCCCAGCCGUGGCUUACAUAGGAGGCGUAGCACCUAGAUAAAUGGCCAGGAGAUAAUUGAGGAGAUAAAUUAGCAACUACCUAUCUCUUUCCUUUACAAGUGCUAACUACCAUAUCUCCUGGCCUACUCAAUCUUUGGUGUACACGGUUCACAUUACAAUCAUGCCACGAUACGUAUAUAUUUGGUAUUCUAUCAGCAUGGACCUCCGGCCGCAGGGGCAGGUCCACUUGUAUUCAAUGGUAUUCAGUUGAAUAUCCAAUAAUGAAAAAAAAAGUUCAUAUAUAUAGUGUAUUCUAGUUAUAUGUAUGGAAAAAGCAAAAAUAAAGAAGCUAACACAGUGAAACAAAAUAAAAAGGCCUACCAGCGGACAUCUUCCCUCUCGGGCUCUCCCUUGCCCAAUUUGCCACUCGGCCUCUCUAAUCAGCCAGGCCACGCACAGCAGAGGGCAUAGGCACCAGGGCACAGCACGCACAAACCACACAUCCUGACAUCCACAUCCAGGCGCCUCUGCUUCAACCCUAGCCGGCGGCGGCCGGCGGGGAGGGCGGAGCUCGGCGACGGGGAGGGGGAGGGUGGAGCGCCGGAGCUCGGAGGCCUGCGCCGCUGCGCGGAGCUGUGGCGGCGGCACCGCGGCAGCCGCGCCACCUACUGGACGUGGACGGCCGGGCGCCGGGCGGCCGGCGCUACUGGACGGCCGGCGGGCGGCGCGCUCCGCCGCGACCCCGGUGGCCUCCGUGUGGCAUGUGACCGCAUCCCCGACUCCCCGUGACCCGUCCCCGACCGCGUGGCCUGCUUGAUUAGAGAGACCUGAUUCCUCUAAUUGUUUGUGAAAUUGUCAAAUUGAGGUGAGCAUGUAGCAUAUAAUUUUUCUCUGUUGUGAGCGGAGCAACAUCAUGUGCACUUUUGUGAUCAUUCAUGUCUACUAGCAAACAUGUUGACCAUUUAGGCCUAUCUUUUCCAUUAUCGUUGUGACUAGGCAGCUAGUAGCACAUUGAUGUUUCUUGCAGGCUAAAAACUGUUAUCAAAUACCAAUCUUCGAGAAUCUGUUGUCAUUAAUAAUUCCCCAACUGAAACCAAUGGGUCGCCUAACAUUUUGAAAGGGCUGGGCAGCUGGCAAUCGGGUGUUCUAUGCAGAACUGCAGCUAAUGUAUGCCCUGUUUUCUAUAUUGUAUAUCAUUAGCUGUGAGAUCUAAUUAAAAAAAUUGAAAAGCUACAAUUGAAAGGUUAAGAAGAUUAGUUGUGUGAUAUAUAAUCAUAGAAAAUAUGGGUUUACACCAACACAUUUUGAUUUAGAUCUGCCAGAUAUGUUUCAUAUUGUGUGCCUAAUGUUCUGCUAAUGUUGAUAGCAAAGCACUCUCAUUUUGAUUACCAUUUUGUUGUUUUAUCCUCUAUUUAUUUCACAUGUUGCCAUUUUGAUAUGUUGACUAUUAGUAGCUGGACAAUUUCAAGUUGUGAUCAAUUUGUUAAUCAAUGAUGUUACCACUUAAUUCUGUGUUAUAAAACUAUAAUUUAGGCUGUUAAUUUUUUUUCUUGCCAUCUGCAAUUUUGAAUACCCAUGAUCCAAAUCCUUAGCCCGCCUCUGCCUUGCACAAACGUCACAAACUGCGCCUCGUCCGUCGGAGCCAAUGUCGAGGCUCCAAAAUCUGAGACUUUGACGGUGUAGUCGUCGUCGAUGAGUAUGUUUGCCGAUUUCACGUCGCCGUGGAUGAUCGGCGGCGAGGCCCAGGAGUGCAGGUAAGCGAGGGCUUCCGCGGCCUCGUGCGCGAUCUUCAGGCGCGUCGCGAAAGAGCCGCGUGGCCCGUGGUUGUGACGGCCGUGGAGAGCGUGCCGUUGGGGAUGAACUCGUAGACGAGCAUGGGCACCUCCACCUCGAGGCAGCAGCCGUAGAGCUUGACGACGUUCCUGUGGUUGAUCUGGGAAAGUAUGAGCAUCUCCUUCCCGAACUCCUCCUCCUGCCUCUCGCUGAUCUGCCUUGUAGACGGUGCCAUUCCCUCCCUUGCCCAGCACAUUUCGCUCGUUGAAAUUAUCAGUUGCCUCUUCAAGCUCUGCUUUGGUGAACAAAGUGAAGGAAAUCCCCUGUUUUGAUUUCAUUUCCUCCAACAGCAAGAGGCCUCCGUGCUGCUUGAAGUACCUCUUCUUCACAGCGGCAAGGCUCCUCUUCUGGUGGAACAGGUAGGCUCCAGACAGGUAAUUACCAGCUAGCCUGCUAAUUUGAUUGUAAUCCAGCUCUAAUCCACACCAAUCCACAUCAAGUUAAUUUAUUUUUUCAACCCAACUCAUCCUAUAUUUAUAUUAUCUAAACUUAAGUCAAUUCAUCCUACUAGUUGAUAGAACCAUAGGUUUGCUAUAAAAAAAAUCAUGGUUUGCUAUAUAAAUCUAUGGGCUCAUAUAAAAAACUUGUAUAUAUUUGAAAUAAAUGUGAGUCCGACAUGUGGGUCCUACGUCAAGAGCUGAACUCUAAAACUAAAACAUCAUGUUCACACCUUAAAAUUUUAACGAAAUUGAUCGAAAUUUAUUGGAGUUGACAGAGUUUGACUGCCCGCUACUUUGUGCUAAAUAGUAUGGCUAAACAUACAUUUAGGCCCCAUAUUAAGAGCCGGACCCUAGAAUUAAAACGUCACGUUCACACCUUAAAAUUUUAACGAAAUUCAUCAAAAUUUAUUGGAGAUGACUCAAUUUGACUGUCCACUACUUUGUGUAAAAUAGUAUGACUAAAUAUACAUGUGGGUCCCGCGUCAAGAGCCGGAUCAUAGAAUUAAAAUCUUGUGUUCACACUUUAAAAUUUUAGCGAAAUUGAUCGAAAUUUAUUGGAGAUGACUUAGUUUAAGUGUCCGCUACUUUGUGCAAAAUAGUAUAGCUGGGCAUAUUUAUGGGCCCCACGUCAAGAGUCGGACCAAACUACAACCUCCCUUUCACACUUUAAAAUUUUAACGAAAUUGAUUGAAAUUUGUUGAAGAUGAUUUAGUUUAAUAAUUAGCUACUCCAUACGAAAAAGCAUAGUUAGACUUAUAUGUGGGCCCACAUUAAGAAUCGGAUCCUUAAAUUGUUUUGUGAAUCAAAUCAAUGCAACCCACUCUAAACCACUCCCAAACUAUUUCCUCUUAGGAGGAAUCCAAACCAAACCAAACCAUUUGAUGAAUUAGCAUAUUAAUAACCAAUCUAAAUAUUCAAAAGAAAUCCAAUCCAUUAAAAUCAUUAAACCCAGUUCAAUUAGCAGGGCCCAUGCUAGCAUAACUAUGGCCAUGCUAACAGCCGUAGCAAGGUCGCAGGAUCAGAUGUUGUCGAGCAGAUGAGAUGGUAAUUGAGGUAACGGAGAUGACGACUUACCAGGCAAAAAAUCAUAUUUUUUUUUUGUCGGGGUGCAUUUCAUUUCAAAAGGAUCAUAAUGUGUUUUAUUGGGUCAUCUGGUGCAAUAGUAUGAUCCUAUAGUAUUAUGGCAUACUCCUCCGCAGAUGCCUGGUUUUAGGCACUCAUCAAUAUCUGCAGCAACAUCAUACUUUAGUGAUACAGAAAUUAACAAAAUGAAGACGAUACCAACUGUCGAGACUUCAAUGUUUCUUCAGAUAACUAGAAAUCUCCAUGUUUAGGUGCCGUUCCAGCUCUCAGUAGUUUUUUUCUCCUUUGCGAUGAGCCUAGUUUGGUUUGUAAGUUUGAUAGUUUGUUUCUCACUAGCCCUUUCAGUUUUUUUCCCCUUUUCCAUGGUUGUAAGACUCUGUAUUUUUUCCCACUCUCUCUUAAUGAGACGUGCUAUGCACAUUCUCGAAAAAAAGAGAAAUCUCCAUGUUAAUUGGAGAGGAGAGCAAUAAAAUAAAGGAAAUUUUAUGCAAACUAGUUUAUGGAAAGUUUUUGUUUUCAUCAGUAAUCCACAGUGAAUUUCAGUUUGUCACUGUUCUUCCUAAAACGCGGACCCAAGCCCAGAUUUGUCAGUGAGAAAACCUAUUGCACGGCUGGAAAAGAACACCAUGUAGUGGCAAAAACAUAAAUUGCAUGUAAAUAAUUAAAGACAGAAAACAGUUCUAUUCUCGCAUCCAUUGUCUUAUUCCCGUACGUUAGUGAUAGUAGAAACGCGUCAUGUUUCAGGCAUUGUUCAGUGAAGUAUGACAAAAGUCAAAAUAAGGAAGAAAAAAAAAGAUUCUACCUCUGCGGAAAGCCUAAUAGUUUAAGAGAUCUGACAUGCAAGAGUUAGUACUGAGUUGUGAGUAUUUUCUCUUCAGUAGCUUAAUGAUUUUUCAGGCAUGGACUUGAUUCAUGCAUCAUAUAACACUAUCUCCGAAGAAUGUUAUAAACUUGAAAAUGUCAGAAAAAUUACGACCUAGAGCAUAAUAUGAAUCUCCAAGACCAAACGAUAAAGAUCUCUAUUGUUGAGAAUGGUUAGGAUAAAUAAUGAUCUCCAAGACCAAACGAUAAAGAUCACUAUUGUCGAGAAUGCGCGCGCGCACAGACACACACGCAGAGAGGGAGGGAGGGAGGGAGCGAACCUUGACAGCCAUUCGAUGUAUAUGGAUUCCCAUUAAAGCCUGGCAUACAUUUGCCUCCUGACAGGUCAGAUUGGCAGCAGCCCAUUGCACAGAGGAUGGUUCCCCCGAACCGAUAUAGCCCUUGUUUACUUGAGGUCCGAAUUGGCCUUUGUACAGUAAUUGGGCCACCUUUUGGGAGUUUUCAAGUAAACGGGCUGCUAAAGUUGGGUCCAAAUUCGGCCUAUGGAUGUCCCGAUUUCGGCCCAAACUUCGACACCUAUUACCACCGGCCGCGCGCAGAACCCUAGCACCGCCCCCAGUCCCUCUCCCUCUCCCCCUGCGCCGCUUUCCGAUCCCCUGCUGCUCUCCCUCUCCCCCGCCGCUCGCCCUAACCCCGCCGCUCUCCCCCUCCCCCGCGGCGGUCGCCCCCUCCCCCGCCACUCUCCGUCUCCCCCGCCGCUCACCUCGCCGCCUGCGCUCGAAUAGAGCACUGCAGCACCAGAUCUAGGACGUUCUCCGUCGGAUCCACCGCGGCCUGUCCCGGAUCCACCGUUCUUGACCCCGUCCGCGGCGAUGGACGACUUCAACGGCGACGGGAACGGCUCGGAGUUCCUCCCGGGCGGGUCCGGGUACCCCGGGGCCUUCAACGCCAGUGGAUCCAGAGUCCCCGCGGCCUUCCUCUCCGGUGGAUCCGGCCCGCCCGCGGGCUUCACAGCGGGCGGAUCCAGAGUCCCCGCGGGCUUCGUCGCCGGCGGAUCCGGGAACCCCCCAGCCUUCACCGCCGGCGAAUCCGGCAACCCCGCCGCCUCCAACAGCGGGGGAUACGGCGAUUCUUCGGGGGUGGACUUCGGCAGUGCCCCCGAGCACGAUGGCGGCCACCGCACAAGGACCUUCUUCUCCCUGGCGCCGCCGGGCGCAGGGACCGGAUCCUACAACCCCUACUCCUCCGGGCCGCAUCACAUGUCGUCGUCCACCGUGCCCACCCCAAGCCACCUGGGCAUGUCGGGCCUGAACCUCAACGCCUCCUCCGGGUGGGCGCACAUGGACGACUACGAAGGCAUCCUUCGCUCCGGCCACCAAGGCGCAACAGGCGGCAGCAGCCGGGCCCCCCGUCCCCGCUGAGAGGCUUCCGGCAGCGGUGGUCAGGCCGCGGCUCCCGGGCGUCGGCAACGGCGACCUACAGCCACGGGCCGCGGUUCCCUGCGUCGAGGCGCGGCUGAAGCAGUUGACGGCGACAACACUUCGGUACUUGCUACCUGUCCCCCUCUUUCCUUCCAUGAUCUGGUCAACUGGUUUGCAUGAAAUGUGUAGGAUAGUCAUGUGUGUAGGAUAGUCAUGGUUAAUGUCAAUAGGAGUUCAUGCAUUCCUGUUUUAAUUACAUUGUGCACAGAUUGCAUUGUUGUUUCAUGCAUUGCUGUUUCAAUUACAUUGUGCACAGACUGAGCCAACCAGGGCCAAGUGGACCAAAGAGGACACUCAGUUGUUUUGUGAGCUUUACUGCCAGCAGAUUGACUUGGGUAACUGCAAGAACGGGAACAUGAGCAAGUGGGGCUGGAUAGAUGUUAGGGAUAAGUUCCUAGAGGCCACUGGGAAGUUUAGAAACAGCGAGCAGUUUGGUUACAAGUACAGGCAGUUGAAGUCGAUGUGGACAUUCAUCGACCAUCUUCGCACCAAGUGCACAGGCUUGGGGCACAGAGAAGAUGGCUCUGUUGUUGCUUCUGACAAGUGGUGGGAGGAGAAGACAAGGGUAACUAAUCUGUCAAGCCUCAUUGUGUAAUUACAAUAGAUGUGUACUACCUUCUGAAGUUUAUGUGUGGGUUGUAUUUGCAUUGCAGGGGCACGCCGACUGGUAUGAGUUGAAGGAUGGAUGGCCAGAAUACAUUGACCAGAUGGACUGGAUGUUCAGUGGGGUUGCAGUGACUGGAGAGACCUCCUUUGUUCCAGGGGUCAACCGGCAGAUUAGCUUCAUCUCUAGUGGCGAGGAAGAUGACGCUGAAGCUGACGGUGGCACCCCUCUAAGCUGUGCGACCCCAGUCAGCACUGGGAGCAAGAGGAGCACCAGCAGCUUGCGCAGCACAGCUACAAGCCCCACCAAGAAGAACAAGGGCAGCACACCUCGCAACCAGACAAAUGUGAAGUCGUCUUAUGAUACAAUGAUAGCUGUAUUGGAAAGGGCGGUGGUCGAUAACAAAAAGGGCAUUGAUGAGGUACUAGAGAAGAGGAAAGAAGAAAGGGAGGCUAGGCAGGCACAGCAGGAACAAUCAAGGGAGGCUAUGCUGGCCCAGCUGCAACAAGCAAGGGAAGUUAGGAUGGCACAGCAGGUUCAUGGAAUGGAUGGUAAGAAAGAAGAGAAAGAAGAAAGGCGUGCUAGGAAAGAAGAACAGAAACAAGUUACAGAUGCAGCAAAAGAGCUUGGAGUGCACCUCAUGGACGGACAUCUAUGGAAUGGUGUGGUCAAGAUCUGCAUGCAUGACGAUCUACGCAACAUCUUCCUGUGCACACCUGAUGAAGCAAGGCUAUCCAUGAUCAAGCAAUAUGCUGCUACGGUCUAAUACCAGACCCUAACAUCCAUGCAUUGUUUAGUUAUUGUCCCUUUAGUACUGUUGGCAUGAUGGCCUGUCUUUUGUGUGUGAUGGUCAUGGCGUGUAGGUCAUUUCAGUUGUUGUGGUCAUUAUUUAAGCUGUGAUGAUGAACUAUGAGGAACUAUGUCAGCACAUGUUUAAUUACAAGAAUGGUUCUUUCCUUUAGUAAUGUUUAUUAUUAUUUCUGAAAAUGAUUGCCUCUGUGUGAGAUGAAUGAGUGUUUGAAUGGAGGUAGCAGGCUUUAGUAAUGUUGCUACAAACUGAAUUGAACUGACUGUGCCUGUCUUGUUUCCAAUACCCAGGAUGUUGAACCUUCUGAUGCUACAGAAGAUGAUGGGUCAGAAGGUCAAGCUGCACAAGAUGAAGCCGUCGAAGAUGAUGCUGCACAACCUGCUGCUGCAGAAGAAGAAGCCGCAGAAGAUGAAGCCUUACUACAUCUUGCCUUCCUAGAUGAAGACUUCGAAGAUGAAUGUUCAGAAGAUGAAUUUGACGAAGUGCUAGAACUUUACAACAGCUGGUGGGACGACUGGUUGUCCAUGGCUUGUCAACACGGUAUGUAUGCCUAUGAUAUUCAUGUGGACAAGUAUUGCAAUAGGCGGUCGUAUAGGAAUCCAGUCUUGACUGGGGAGCAAUGGGUACUGAACAAGCUUGACAAUGAUUCAGCCUGCUACAAUAUGUUUAGGAUGACCCCACACAUGUUUCAUAGGCUACAUGAUUUGUUGACAUCUCAGUAUGGUCUUAGAACAUCUAACAAAACCAGCACUAUUGAGGCUCUAGGAUUGUUCCUUUGGAUAUGUGGGGCACCGCAAUCAGUUAGGCAAGCAGAGGAUAGAUUCGAGAGAUCACUAGCCACUGUCCAUAGACUAUUUUACAAAGUCCUCAAUAGUCUAGUAGACUUAUCUGCCGACAUAAUUAAACCUCGUGACCCACACUUUAGAUCAAUGCAUCCUAGGCUGCAAAACAAUCGGUUCUACCCUGAAUUCAAGGGUUGCAUAGGAGCAAUAGAUGGCACUCACAUCCCUGUUGUUGUGCCUAGUGGAAAGUUUAUGCAGCACAUGUGUAGGAAGGGCAAGAUAACCCAGAAUGUCAUGGCUGCCUGUGACUUUGAUAUGGUCUUUACUUUUGUCCUUGCUGGGUGGCCGGGUUCAGUUCAUGACAUGAGGGUGUUUGACGAUGCAAUGACAACUUACAGAGACCACUUCCCAAUGCCACCUAGAGGUACACAGCCCUGUUUCCCACUCAUUACUGUUUUCUAAUUGCACUAUCGUAAACUUACAGGUAUGUACUCUUCAUAUAGACAAAUACUACUUGGUGGACUCGGGGUAUGCAAACCGAACCGGCUUCCUGGCUCCGUACCGGCAGGCCAAGUAUCACAUCCAAGACUUCCAAAACGCGCCCGAACCUCAUACGGUAUGAAGGAGAUAUUCAACUUCGCACAUUCAUCUCUUAGAAAUGUGAUUGAAAGGGUGUUUGGAGUGUUGAAAAUGAAGUGGCGCAUAUUGUUGGACAUCCCGGCCUAUCCACCUAAAACACAGACAAUGAUAAUAUGUGCAUGCAUGGCGUUGCACAACUUUAUUAGGAUUAAUGGUGACUUUGAUAGUCACUUUGGUAUAGUAGACAACAACAUAAAUUAUGUGCCUGUUGAAGGCACUCAGGAUUAGCCACAUACAAUUCCUGCGCCACAGAGCGCGGACAUGGCAAGCAUGAAUGCAUUCCGAGACAUGCUUGCUGAACAUUUGUUUGCUAGGUCUUGAAUAAUUUGUGAUUGAGGACAUGUCAUUGUUGAUGUACUUUGUCAUUCCAUGUAACAGUUUUCGAUCUUGUUACUGUACCGGGUUGUGACUGUAAUAAUUUGGAACGGUGUUGUGACUGUAAUAAUUUGUUGAUGUACUUGAGAUAUUUUCGUUGAAGGUUUGCUGUUGAAAAUGCGAUUGUGUUCUCCCCCUGAGCUGUUCAUGCGUUUUUUGCAUGUGUGCAUGCAUGGGCCAUGCAUAGAUGUGCUGGGUUUAAAUGCUCAAACAGUGAACUCCAAAGUUUCUGAAAUUGGGAGCAACAAAAUUCUGUACAAAGGCACAAAUUCAGGCCAAACAGUAACUCCCAAGUUGGGAGGUCCCAACUUGAGCAAGUAAACAAGGGCAUAGAGGGGGUUCCUUUGGUCCAGAUCGGGCGUGGGCUGAAGAUUCAUGGACUCUGUCGUCCUCAUCAGUCGUCAGGCGGGUGCGGGUGGCCGUCAUGCUGGAGGCCGGACGGCGAGUGUUCGCCGGUCGACGGCGCGGGAUACCUCACCGCUUCAUCGUUGCAAGACAUGCUCGCCCGAAAAGUAGGCCCGGGCAGGGAGAUUGGCCGGCCGGCUGGCUUCGGCAGCUGCGCGAGGUGGCCGGCCGUCGGCAAGCACUUCAAAUAUGAGCUCAGCAGCAGGGCGAACCAUGAAGCUAGAAAAAGGCCAAGCAGACGAGCGUCUCCAAAGAUCUCAAAUCACGAAUCACGGCCGGGUUAGGGGAUGCGAUCGAGAAAAAAUGCGUUGGAUUAGGGAGAAAUUAAAGGCCGAGUUCGAUUUUAUUUUGGGAAGAGGGAGGACUCCAAUCGGACCGAAUGGAGAAUCGGACAUGUGUCAUCACCAAGGAACGUGCAAAGAGUCAUUGGCAGUUGGCACUGCCGGCGCGGCGGCGGUGGCUACACACUGACCGGAGAAGUCGACUCCGGUACGGGCGCGCGGCCACCACCUCGAGGAGAGCCGAAUUCCUCGGGUGCUGGGGCGCCCUUACUUUCAGUUGCGCUCGGCAAGCCACGUGCCUUGGAGUGCGGUGGCGCCGGUGCCGUCGCCGCUCCAUCGCCGUCCGCACGCGCGGCCCGUGGCUACAUCUUCAAUCGGCGGCGAACAGCAUCCCCGAACGAACUAUGGCCACGGGCGCCAAGUGUGGGGCGGUGCGUGAACCUGGCGGAAGCAAUGCCCGGACGCGACCUCGCCGGUCCCGAUGCCGCCGCUGGCGAAAUAUUUUCAGGAAGACCCCUGGAUCGCGAUUAAAAUUUACGCAUAACCCCCUAAUUUGGAUCGCGAUCAAUACUUGUGAUCCGAUUAUUUGCAAUUAGAACCCUAGAUUUUGCAUAUAGCUCCCUGGUUGCGUUCCUCUGCUUACGGCUUACCACCGUCUUCCCCGGCGGAAUCGAGCAGCCCCGUCGCCCCGUCCCGGCUACCAGUCCCUCGCUCAAUCAAGGCCGCACCGGAGCUGCAGCCAUGCGGGCAGGCCGAAAAAGCGGCGGCGAGCGUCCGCCGGCCGACGGCGCGGGAGACCUCCGCUGCAUCGUUCAAGCUCGCCCGAUCAGUAGGCUCGGGCAGGGAGACUGGCCGGCCAGCUGUCUUCGGCAGCUGUGCGCGGUGGCUGCCGGCUCGAGCCACGUCGCCGUCUUCGCCGCCGGCGCCCACCUGCCUCCUGCUCCAGGUUUGCAACUAAUAGCGCAGGUCCCAGCGAACGAUGGAUCGGAGAGCAUGUUUUGCCGCAUGUUCAUGGUUCAGAGUUGAGAGACUGCAGUAGCAUUGCAGCAUCAGACAACUCCUAAUUUCAGUGGAAAUUAAUUUAAAAAUCAAACCUCCUCUGCGUAUGGAAGUUCAUCGUUACUCUGUUUCAGAGUUGAGAUUAGCCAUGCAUUCAAGCAUCAGGCGCUCCUAUUUUCAGUAGUAGAAGUUAAAUUAGAUUCAAACCAUGUUUAUUGCUGCCGUUUGUGUUGAGAUCGAUGAUGGAUCUUUGUGCCUGAAUCUACAGACUUAUGCUGGAAGGAACAGACUGUUACUUUGCAACUUCCUCUGCCUAUAUGAAAGUUACUGAACCGAAUGCGAUUAACAGCUUGCGAAAACGAAGUGAAUUCAUGCACAAUCUACGUAUCUAUUGUUUGGAGAGACAAGUAUUGCACUGAUCUUUUUACCUGCCGAUGUUUACUGCUAAAGGCCAUUCAGUGGAUGUUCUUGCCCAUCAAGUACUCCUGACACUGCAGCUGAACAGCGAGCACUGCAGCAAACUCCGUGUUCGACGACGCGAUGCCACGCUGUGCGGGGGAACUCCGGGUCUCCGGCGCCUACGCCACGCUCGCACGGCAGCCGCGCCACGUUCUGCUCUCUCGGGGGAAAGGCCGGCCUGCCCGGGAGUGCACCGGCGGCGGAGCCGUCGCCGCGCCACCGCCGCCUCCAUGGCCGCGCGCAGCGCGGGCGCGGCCGAGCGUGGGGCCGGGGGCUACAUCAGAUGAUCACUGCCGUUUGCGUUGAGGCUGGUGAUGGAUCUUGUGCCUGAAUCUACAGAUGUAGUGCUGCGAGUACAUCAGACCAGGAACCUUCAGAUUUCAGGGAUCGGUAAGACAAAUUGCAGAAACUGACAGCGGGUAGUAAGACAAAUUGCAGAAACAGAUUUGUUAUACCUCUAAAGUUUUUGUUUUUUCAUUUUGGGUACACGCACUCUGCGCAGUUCAGUUAAACGGCAACUACAUAUGCAGAGCACUAGAGCUACGCUAGUGUUAGUUGGAGUGUCAUUCAAGAAGGCACUUGGCCGCAAAUUGAGGUGAGCAUGGCUCGGCCUUUUUUUUCCAUUCCAAAGUGAUGUCAUCAAAACAAUAACGUGUGAUGUUCUUUGGCAAAAAAAAAAGGAAAGGAUUCACGUGACAGUUUGAAAAAGGCAGCGAUUCGGCAUAAUCCGGUAUGCAAAUUCAAAUUGCCAAUUGGUUUGAAGCGCGGGGACCAGUACGGACUUUUAAAUAGUGAAAACAAAGAGCAAAUUUGAAUAUGAACCUAGACUUCAAGGCUGAGGCCGGCCGGCCGCCGGCAGGCGUGCUCAUGCACAUUCCUGAUCGUUGGUCCUUCGCCAGGCAAAGCAGCGAACACGGAACACCUGGUGCCCGACCGCCGGCGACAAGCCUAACGAGGCAGCAAGCGAGCGAAGACGAUGCCAUUGGGGUCAGCCGUGUGUCGCGUGUGUACCUUCCCUGUGCGGACGCGCUGCGCGCGGCCAUGGAGGCGAGUGCGUGGCGAAGACGAAGGCGAACGUUAUCCCGGCGUGCGCGCGCCACCUGAGUCACGUGGCGUCACGGCGGCGCACGCGAGCAGGGUUAGGUGAUGGCGCGUGGCACCACAGCGCGCACAGGUUAGAUGCGCGCGUCGACGGGCGACACCGGGUACAGCCGCAUGGACUCUGCGAUGGCGUCGUGGAGGUCGUAGCGCAUGUCGCGCAUCGGCGUAUGCGAUGCAUGCAGCCGGUCCAAUCUGAACGGAGACGCGUCCUCUCGUCGCUCGCGGCGAAGCUCGACAGGACGCAGGAAGUCGACGCUUACUGGCAGGCCGGCGCGGCUGUGCUCCGGCGAGCCACGGCAUGCAGCGGAGGUGGCGUUGCUGCGACGACCAGGGUCCAGGGGACGGGUGGACGGUAUUUCAAAUACCGUCCGCCCCCUGGGUCACUUUAUGCCGUUGGAUCGAGCACGUGCGGUCCGGAUCGGGCGAGGUCUGCACAGGCAGGGGCACGGUCGUCCUGGUUAGUCGUCAGGCAGGCGCGAUGCUGGAGGCCGGACGGGGACGGCGGCGGCACGGCGGGUGUGCUCGGGCUCGGCGGCGAGUGACCGCCGGUCGACGACGCGGCGAGACCUUGCCGGCCGCUUCAUCGUUUGAGAGAAGCUGGCCCGAUCAGGUCUGGGCAAAGCGUGUCCAUGGCCCCGGGCACGGAGAUGGCCAGCCAGCCGGCUCCGCCAGAUUGCCGCACGCGGCCGCCGUCUCGAACCACGUCGCCGUUUUCGCCGGCGGCGACCUGCCUCCUUGUCCAAGCUUGCAACGCAGGGUCCAGGGCGAUGGAUCAGAGAAUGUGGCAGCCUGACAGACAGCAGCAAAGACAGAGUGUUUUGCAUGUACGUAGUUCAGAGUUUGGGAUUGGCUGCACUGCAGCAUCAGACACUUCAAAUUUCAGUAAAAGCUAUAUUAAGCCAUACUUAUCGCUACCUUUUUGCGUUGAGGCCGAUGAUGGAUCAUCUUUGUGCCUGAAUCCACAGUUGUAGUACCAGGGCAGGAUGUCAAAACUUGCUGCGAGAAAUGCAGUCCAGGAACACAGAGCCUUCAGAUUUGAGAUCAUAGACUGUUAACACAAAUCAGAGCAACUGACAGUGGGUGGUAACAUCUCAAGAAAAGACAGUAAAAUACAUUGUGCUCGCAGCCUCGCACUAGUGCAGCAGGAGAUGGCGGAAUUUGUGAAUUUGCAGGACUUGGUCCAAACUGUCCAGCUAAAUGAUCAGGAAGAUGACAGGAUAUUUUGGAAAUGGACGACAAAUGGAAAAUACACGUCCAAAUCAGCGUAUCAAGCACAGCUGAAAGGAAUGUACUGUUCAUUUUCCAGCAAUAGCAUUUGGACUGCACAUGUGGAAAAUAAACACAGGAGAAAGGGUAUUAACAGCGGACAAGAUGAUGCAAAAAACUGGGAGUGUGAACCAACAUGCAAGCUUUGUGACCAAGAAAACGAAACGGCUCUGCACUUGUGCCUCACCUGCUCCUAUGGAUGUUGGUGUCCAACUGGACGGGAAGGAAGGUUCCCAUUCCUGGAGAUGGGUAUGAAUCAACCGAGCAAUGGUGGACACAAACAAUGGCCAAUAUCAGUAGGAAGCAGCGGAGAUCAUUGGCGGCCUACUGCAUCAUAACGGCAUGGAAUAUAUGGAAUGAGCGCAACAGGAGGAUCUUUGAAAAUAAAUUCCUAUCGCCUAUGCAGCUGCUUCUUCGCAUUCAGGAGGACAUAAACAUCAGGAAGCAAGCGUGCGGGAAGCCUGGGUUGGAAUAGAGUCUCUUUAGUUUUUUUUCAUGAAUGAGUCAUUUGAGCCUGUAUCUUUUUAUAUAUCAUCGACUUAACUGUAACCGCAAACUUCUACCUCCUUAUAUGAAUUAGCAGCACUCCUGCUCCUUUUCAAAAAAAAAUUCGUUUUCCAUUUUGUGUACAGUCAUGAGUUAAACGGCAACUGCAACUGUGUGCAAACAAUGUUGUUGUCACGAGGAUACAAAUGCGAGCGGUUGUUUGGUUUCCCGGAAAUUUGCGACAGCGGAUUUAUAUUUGUUGAUGCGCAUAUGCAUGCCAUCCUGAGAUCACGAGGAAGGAUGACAGGGCCGGCGACACUCUCUUCUCUCCAGAACUUGUGAGGUGAGCAAGCAGAUCCGUUGGUAGACCCGAUGCCGGCCGACCAAAGUGGCCUCCCGCUGCACGAAGGGCUGACGUCAAGUACAUGCCGCCCCUGGCCUUCCCGCUGUACCAAAGGGCUGACGACCCCAGGCCUGGUCCUUGCUUGCUCUGGCCGAUGAAUCCGCUGCCGAUCUUGUUUGUCUGAAUCUUGACAGCGAUGCACCGGCGAGAGUGGUCAGUGGUCACAGCGUGAGCAGCCAACCCUCGUCUCAGCCAUACGAAUUCCUGCCCCACCUAUCCAUCCAUCAAGUUAUCAGGAUCGGCCUGAAUGUUGCUACAGUCCCGGUGGCUUUUCUCCUUUUUUGAUUCUCUAGUGAUGGAGCCUCAGAUUUGCGCGUGCUACCCUGUAUCACUUUGUCUGAAUGGACAGGCGGCAACCUCCGCGACACUACAGUUUACAGCACGUGUCGUAUUUUUUUUUUUUGGAACUAGCUUCUUCAUUCAUUCAGAAUCCAGAUUACAAUCCUCUUGUUCUUGUAGAGGUCGCAACAAGAAGCUAGGGGGUUCUCUAUCCAAACUUCAGUACUACUAGAACUAGCAUGCUUAGCACAAACAUGGGCGACAACAUUAGACGAUGAACCAUAUUAAAAGAGGUAAAAGACGUCACGACUUCCUGAAUCUCACGCAAAAUCGUUGCAAUCUCCGAUCUGUGGUUGUGUUCGGCCAGUCCUCCAGCUCUGAAGAAAACUGAGGGCAACAACCACGGAAUGCUGGAACUGCAGGUAAAUAUUUGACACGACGAGCACAGUCACGGCUUCAUAUCAUAACAGUCACGCCGUCCAACCACCUGGCGAGAAUCAGAACCACAAUGCCACACAGCAAAUCACAACCAACCAGAUCAGGCAUCUCAUUCUUUCCAACUAAACCACCUGUAGGGAACUAUCAAAACGAUGAGCCGCCAAGAUGCUUUGCUCUCUGCCAGCAAUCUGUCGACCGCUGAAGGGCCAGAAGAGCUAGCUGAAGCACGUAAAAGGACCGACAAAAAAUGCAGGAAAAAAAAGUCAGUGACUCAGUUCGCAAAGAAUGAGAAUUGCAGUAGACUGCAGCAAGGAACACAGAAGCGGGACAAAACAUGAAACUAUUAUUUCCAAAGACGCAAAGCUCAUCUAUGCAACCAAACCGACUAAACACAGCAAAAUUACAACCGAACCGUUCAUAUUCUUCACAACCAGAAACUAAACUCAGGUCCCAUAUUAGCAACUUCGUUACAUGAAGGUAGCAAGCAGGUAGGAAAAGCAAAAGGCAACUCAUGUCCCAACUUAGCAUGAAUCCUGGCGUCCGGAGGCACACCAUUUCACAUUUUAUUCUCUGCAUAGACAAGCAGCGGGGCCGUUCCACGACCGCAAAGGCCACGGGAAGGAACCAUGGAGCGGAGAUGACGCUCUACUGGGUCUUGAACAUGUGGCGGAUCAGGUCAACAACGCGGUUGCUGUAGCCCCACUCGUUGUCGUACCAGGAGACGAGCUUGACGAAGUUGUCGUUCAGAGCGAUUCCAGCCUUGGCGUCGAAGAUGCUCGACCUAAGUGGAAACAAUGAAACAGGAAAAAAAAUGAAUAACACAGCACAGGAACAAAACAACAUUCACUAGAAUUCAUCGUAGCACUAUAGUGGUGUGCCCUAGAAUAUCCGCUGGUUCCUAGAACUUGGAGGACCCAAAGCAAAUUUCGUGUACCUGCUGUCACCAGUGAAGUCAGUGGAAACCAAAUCCUCGUCCGUGUAACCCAUGAUACCCUUGAGUGGCCCCUCAGACGCAGCCCUGUAAAACAAUAACAAUCAAAUUAACAACAUUUCACAAAUCCCCAACCAAGAAGAAUGCAAGAUACAUGGACUCCAUGUCAAACAUGGCAACAGAUUAUCAUUCCAGACAAGAAAUGUAAAUACAUUGAUAAAUUAAUUUAAAACAAUAAACAAGAGACUUACUUGAUAGCCUUCUUAAUGUCCUCAUAGGAGGCACCCUUCUGGAGUCUAACGGUGAGGUCAACAACUGACACAUCCACGGUGGGAACACGGAAGGACAUACCAGUGAGCUUGCCGUUCAAUUCAGGAAGAACCUUACCAACAGCCUGCAGUAAAUUAAUAUACAAGUUAGAUGCAGAAUCACAAUUAAACUUAUAAGAAUAUAGAAUGGUUGCCAACUUUACACUAAGCAGAACCAAAGUUAAUAAUGAAGCCUUUUAACACAUGAUUCCAAGGUAUUUGCAUGCUCAUUGAUGUGAUUUAGGCUCAGAUACAUAAAUUAGUUCACAAAGCUAUGUAUAAACCCAAAACAGAGAAAUAAGCUAUCAAGUUUCUAUCACAAAUUAUCAGCUAGCCUAGCAGGUCAAAACAGUUUGCACAAACAAAAGACUACAGAAGAACUAGGAAAUACAGGCUCACUGUAUACAACAUUG
Molecule: long non-coding RNA, 61314 nt
Filed under: Setaria italica (foxtail millet)
Lineage: Eukaryota; Viridiplantae; Streptophyta; Magnoliopsida; Poales; Poaceae
Description: long non-coding RNA (SITA_LNC004372)
Source: RNAcentral